AGCUCAAGGGCUUAGGAUCUGAGUUGUUGUCUUUGAUUCAUUUGGAGAAUUAAAAUAAUUUAGUUAAGAAGUGUGUGAAACUCUUAUUCUUUUAAGUACGAAGUAAAUGCAAUAUCAAUGAAUGCAAUAGGUAUAAUAUAUAAUAUAUAAUAUAUAAUUAUAUUAGUUAAAUUACAUAAGAACAUAUAGAUUGAUGAAGGGCAUUGCAUGUAAAACUUUCAAGGUAGAUUUUUUUAUUAAUAAUAGUACAUAGGUAAAACUCUAGUUUUAUUAAUCUAUCGUGGCUCACUAUGAGCUCUUAUAUGAUAGUAGAUAGCAGCUUAGUAAAGAGUGAUCUAAAUGGAAAAGAUAAGACCCCUUCUUCCACGCCUUCCCUCUUUCUCCCUUUGCUGUUGCUGCUGAGGUUGAGCAUUUGCAAAGUAAGAUUGUUGUUGGUUCUUAAUUAAUCUCUCAACAUCUUCAACAGAACCAGGGAAUGUAAGCUGCUUCACUUCUUUAUCUAACUGUCUUAUCACAUUGUCUUCAGAACCUUUCAAUUUUCAAUAAUUUCCAAACAUAACAAUAUGAGUUAGUAACGCCAAAACCAAAGUCAUAAAGCAAAUAUUAUAAUUUACAAUUAGGUAUUUGUGCCAAAAGUUUAAUUUGUUGCCACAUUGGCUUCGUCCAAAGAUAUAGUUGGUGAUUUGGCGAUCAAUUUUAUAACUGUGUAUCUACCUUUUAAAUAGCAUGUUUAGAUUAAAUUAAAAUAUAUUUAAUUAUAAACUUUGAAGUUGAAUAAUGUUUAUGGUACCUGCAAGGAAAUUCCUCUGGUUUUCAUCAGCAUUGAUGCCAAAUCCAAGCAAGCGAAGAUUUGAGGAAGCGUUGAUGGAAAUUGGAUGACCUGCUGGAAUUACGAAAAUGUCACCUUCUGAUAAUUUAGCAUUGUACCUUCUCACUUCUUCCUGUUCUUGCUCAUCUUGUUGUCGUUCUUGAUCUCUUAUACCCACCAGUUCAUAAUUUCCUUCUCCUUCAUCAACCACGACUACAAAUAUGGCCUUUGAGUUAUAGUGUGGUAACAACAAACCUCCCUAACAUAAAAAAAUCAAAUCAUUAGUAAUAGUAUUGUUGUCUAAGACACAACACCAGUGAAUAAGUUCAAGGAAUUGUGUGUAUUGUUAUUUGGGGUUGGAUGUAAAUAAUGUACCUCGUUAAUUUCUAUGAAGGUGAGAGAGAUAUCCAAAUCCUGAGCUUGAGGGUUUCUGUCUGGGGUGAUCUCGUAGAAGUUGCCAAACUUGUUUGAAUAAAUGGGUUCAUCGCUUCUCAAGUUGAAGGGGCCAGAUUCAGAUGGUUUGCCUUUUCCUGAUGAUGAUUGAGCAUGUUUUCUCAAUUCUUGGAUCUGUUCCUUUGACACUCUCACUAUCACCCCCUCAUCUUGGUGGCUCUGCUCUUGUCCACGACUUUGCUCCUCAUCUUCCUGCCCGUCCUCAUUUCCUAAAAUAAUCCUUUGUAUCUCUUCAUAACGGGUCUAUAUUUGAAAUCCAAACAAACAAAUAUGUGAUCAUUAGUACAUAUACUCAAUAAAUAAUUGUGCAACCAACGCAGAUCAGAUGUCAUACAUUGAAGGUGGCCUCUAAAGUGUUCCUACUGAAGCCGUUGAAGUAAGACUGUUGGUCUUUAGUACUUGAUGGAUAGAAAUCCUAUAAAUAUACAAAUAUAGAGAGAAAGGAGGAAGAAAUUAAAAUUACAUGGUGUUAAAUAUGCAAUGGGUGCAUAGAAAAUUAGAUGAUAUAAACAUAAAAGAUAAUAUGAUUGGAGAAAGAACAUUACAUAGAAGUUGCCAGGGUUGUUGAUGGGUAUUGCGAGCUUGACUACUCUAAGGUUCUGGUUGUCAUCCGGGUUAAGGAUAUAAGAAGUUGUUCCAGCUGGGAGUCUGAGAGCAUCUCCAUGCUCAAGGUUAUAUGCUUGUCUUUUAUCAGGGUUGACUAUCGUGAUUGUCGCNNNNNNNNNNNNNNNNNNNNNNNNNNNNNNNNNNNNNNNNNNNNNNNNNNNNNNNNNNNNNNNNNNNNNNNNNNNNNNNNNNNNNNNNNNNNNNNNNNNNUAUAUAAUUAAAAAUAAAUUGUUGCAUAAAUAACGUACAAUACUAGUGUACGAAUAAUGAUAUUUGUUGAGCUGUUAAGGUUAUACCAAUACCUUACAUAUAAGAUUCAGUUAUAUAUGAUUGUCAAUCACGUGGUUACUAGGUGUGAAUUAAAGAUCCGAUUAAACAAGAUUUGGUCAUAUAUGAUCAUUGAUUACUAGAAUUUCUAACUUAACUGUGUGAAAGAACGAUAUUGGAAGAACUAUUUCUAAAUAUUUGUAUGAUACAAAUUAGAUAAAAUAGCAAAUAAUCUAUAUAAUGAAUGAUACACAUACUUCAGUGGGACAAAGGGGGGAGUAAACUUUACACUAACAACUCAAGGGUACAGAGAAUUUUAAUUUAGUGAUCAAGUAUUAAAUUAUAGCUGUGAUGAUAAGUUAUAUAUACUAAUUUUUUUAUAUAUUUACUUCCAACUUAUUGAAACUUGAGAAGUAUGCUUACAUUUAGAGAUGUAUAGUUAUUAGUCAUAAGUGUCAUCAAAUCGGUCAGAGUAAUAGUAUAGUGGUAUAGUGGUUCAACCGAUGGUUCAUUAAUUAAUUUUAUGUCGGUUAAAUCCGACAUACAUGCUUAUCUAUACAAUCUUUAAUAAAAAAAUUAACUAGGUAAAUACUCAAAUUUAAAAUUCAUGUUCUUAGUCUACUAAGAAUACCCAUAGAUAAACAAUUUUAACAAACAAAGUCUGGCCCAUCUUCCAUUGAUGCAAAUCAACUAAUUGAACAAAUAAAAGAACUAAGUAAGGAAGACGCACUUUACAAUAACAAUUAAAAAUCCUAACAUGUAAGGUAAGAAGAAAGAGAGAGAUGAUUUAAGGCGGGAGAUGAUAUAAACACACACCUUAAUGGGCAAUGACUUCAACUCUACAAAGAAUUGGAUGGAACGAAGAUGAUAGGUCGGUGGAAGGGACUGGACAAAGAUGAUACCUCGGGGAAGCCUGGAACUAUAAAAGAAAUGAAGAAGGGUUGAAGAAGUGUGAACAGUGGAAGGAGAAAAAUCGAAUAAGGGUAGAAGAAUUGUGAACCGUGUAGCCUAGAACUUUUUUGAAAACCCUACUUCCCUAAAACGACGCCAUUUAUGGUUAUUUUUUAAGAAUAAAAUACAUGUAUAAACCGGCUAAUUUAGUCAAAUUUCGCCUGGUUCACCAGUUUUGAUCAAAUUCGGUCGGUUUUCACUGGUUUUGGUACUUGGUUAGUAUAACAACCAUACUGUAUCGGUUAGGGGUUCGGUUCACCGGUUCUUCGAUUGACAUGGACGGUACGGUUUUUACGUUAUGGUUUGUUAAUGAGAUGGGGAAUAAGUAUUUUAACAAUCAAAAAUCAAAAUUAUAAAAGGUAAAUAAUUAAGUUUAUUUCCUAAUAUUUGGUGUAUCUUUCAAUAAUUAUAUUAAAUUCGUUUUCGUACUAACUUAAGUGAAGAAAAAAAUUAAGUAAGAGAAAACUUGUAAUUGUUUAUAAAUGUUAGGGUUGCAAUUUGUUCACCAAGUAAUAAUCAUUAAAGAUAUAAUGUUGUAUUUGUGGCUGAUGGUUGUUAAAGUCUAGGUUAUUUUAUAGAAACUUUUUAUUGCCUAAACGUUGGGGUGUAAUCAUUUUGAGACUGAAAUAGACAAAUGGAAUGUCAUAUUACUAUAUGAGAUGCUCAAGUUUUAAUUUCCAUGUUUUUUUUUUAAAUUAUCAUAUGAAAGAUUAUAAAAAAUAUUGAUAUAUUUUUGUACGUUUUAUAUUGACAAUGCUUUUUUAUUUGGGUUAUUCUAGAUAGAAGGUGUUGGUCUAAUAUUGUAAAGCCUCAUUAGAUCCUCAAGAUGACUAAAACGUCAAUGAUUCGAUUUAUGUAAGCGAAAUUUGUUGGCAGGGGCAGUCAUACACACCAAAAGAGAUUAGUUUCUUACCCAAGGGUGAAGGGAUACCGUUUUUAGUACCCAAAAAAAUAAAAUUUGUCUUGUGGACAUCUUACUCUUAUUUAUAAAUGUAUAAUAUAUAAUUACAUUUUUACUUCUUCCAUAUCAUAAAUAUUUCAUAAAACAAUUCAUAUCAACAUAAUUAUUUCUUAAAUUCUUUUGCUUAAUAUUUUUUACCAUUGUGAUCUAGUGUUAAUCUUUUAUAAUUUUUCAAAUUUAUUUAAUAAAUGCAUAGACACAUUUUCUUAAUAUAUAUGAUAGUGAAUUAAAAAAUCAAAUAAAAUUAAAUAAAACCUUUAGAUGAUAAUAUGAGAUAUUAACUAUGAUACUUCUACACAAGAAACUGAAAAAAGCUCAAGGGCUUAUGAUCUGAGUUAUUGUCUUGGAUUCAUUUUGAGAAUUAAAAUAAUUUAGUUGAGAAGUGUGUGAAACUCUUAUUUUUUAAGUGAGAAGUAAAUGCAAUAUCAAUGAAGGAGUGCAAUAAAAUAAAAGAGAAGAAGAUAAAAUACUUUAUUAAUAGGGUUCUGAUCAAUUUUGUAUACGUACCUAGAAGCGUACAGUAGUUAUCAAUAUAUAUUUUUAGAGAAUAAGAAUUACAAGUUCUAACAAAUUCAUGGGCAUAAAAAACUCAUAUGGUGUUUCUAAUUUGUGCAAGUUAUAAUAAGUAUCUUGAGCCUAAUAUUUAACAUUGUUUCUCUUAUUCUUCCAAUACUAGGCAAUGUUUUACUUAUUACAAUAAUAUAUUUCAAGCAUCUCCAACAAUAUCAACCUUGAUUGAAAUAGACUAAUAAUUCAGUCUUUAGGAAAUUUAUACAGCAAUCUUCACCUUAGUGAAUAUUUUAUUCCUUAAUAAAUAUACGCAACAAUCACCACCUUAGUGAAUAUCCAACUCCAUAUUACGCAAUGACUAACUCUUUUUAUGAGCUCCUCCAUUGGACUUCUUCCACAUGUGAGAAUGCUCAUCUUCAACAUAAGUCGAGUAUCCUUUAUGAUAUUACCAAGAUUUAAGUUGUCCCAACUCAAAUUUUGAUGGAGAACCAAUUUCACGACUUCGGAGUAUGGGGAAAUAGAUUCCUUUUCUACAAAAUGAUUUGGAGUUGUCACUACAUUUUUUUUAUCAGAAUAUAAAUUUUUUCUUUAUACCCAAAUAGAAAACAAAUAUGAUUAUUGAACUAAAGUUCAAAGCUUGGGAGUCAAUUACAGGUCGGGAAAGGUAUUCACACCACAUCUGAUCGUAUUAAAACAAUAGCCAUGCUAACUAGAUGGAUCCUUAUGCCCCCGGUUUAUUUUUUAAAAUAUUAAUUACUAAAGAAAAGUAGUAUUUUUUUUACCUAAGAAGAGCUUAUUUGCUUUAAUGCAUCCUCAUGUUGUAAUAUGAAAAUCAAGACAACAUUGUUCAUGGCUGAAAAUUGAUCAAUGGAUUUGUAUAAAUUUUAUUAAAGAAUUAAUAUAAAAUUAAAGGAGGUCAAUAGCAUAAGAGAUUGUAUUAGUUGUAAACCAACAUCUCAAUUUGAGAGGUAACAUAGAUAGUAUUGAUAACCGCAAUUGUUUCUCUACAUAUAUAAGAAAUUAAGAUACCACAUGAAUAUCAAACUCAUUAUUAGAUUCCAAAAACGGUUUAUCGAUUUUCAUAUAAAAAACUCACAACCACACAAAUUUCUUAUCAUAACAAUGGUGAUUUUAAGUUGUUUUACUAUAUACUAUAUAUUUCCAUUAACAAUAUACAAAUCCUCAUUCCAUUUUCCAUUAUAUAAUUAACAUAACUAAGUUAAUUAACAUGGUCAAGUUCCUUAUGCAUACUCAAGUCAUUGCAGCUUUCUUCGCUGUCAUUCUACUUCUAGCACAUAUUGAGAUGUGUCCUAUAUUAAGUAUUAACAUAGAAGCAUAAAUCAAACCCAAAACCAUGAAUAGUUGGUUAUCUCAGAAUAAUUGUUUAACAUCAGCAUCAAGGUAUGACACACCGACAUGGUGGUUGUCUUUUAAAUAGGAAAAGUCUCUUGUCUCCGUCUAACAUCAGCAUCAAGCAUGCUACCAAAUUCCAAUAUAGGGAUUUAUAUUUUGAAGAAUAAUUAUUAUCAUUGAUAUAUUAUACCUUAUUUUUUAUUAUAUUUUUUAAUGUCUAGGUAAAAUGACCGAAGUGGUUGAGAACCUGGAUACUAUCAUUCAUGAAGUAGUAAUCACUGAUGAUGAGGACUAUGUGGAGGAAAUAGAUGAGAGUGAAAGUGAGAGUGAGGAAGUGAAUGAAAGUGAAGGUUUGGAUAGUGGAAAUGACAACGAUGGAUUUAAUAACUAUGAUGAAAAACUAGAUUUUUGUGUGGGGGUUCAUUCAGAUGAUGAUUUAGUUGAAAUUUAUGUUGAGAGAAAGGUGGUUGGAGAACAAUUUAAACUCCAAUCUGAUGGUAAGGUGAAACUUCAAACCAAUAUGUUACUAUUGUUAGAGAAACUUCAAACCAAUAUGUUCAUAAACGACUUACCGGCUUGAGCUACUAUUGUUAGAGAAACAAAUCCUGGGAGUAAAGUGACGAUGGAGUUUGCAAGGGUCACAAUUGAUAGGAACCCACAAUUUAAACGAUUAUUUGUAUGUCUUGGUGCAAGGAAAAAAAGAUUUGUUAGAGGUUGUAAGCCUUGGUUUAGAAUUGAUGGAUGCCAUUUAAAAGGUCCUUAUGAAGGAAUUUUACUUGCUGCAGUUGCCCUUGAUGGAAAUAAGGGUAUAUUUCUUAUUGCAAUUGUUGUGGUAGAGGUGGAGUGUAAGGAUUCAUGGAGGUUUUUUCUCACCUUAUUAACUGAAACUUUGCACACUCUACCAAAAUGGAAGGAGAAUAAACUAACCAUUAUGUCAUAUACACAAAAGGUUAGUGUGUUUAAAUUAUAUAUCUCCCUAUAGUGAAUAGAUAAUGUCUCUCUAAUUAUUGCUCUUCAACUUAAUUGUUGUAUAAAAAGAACAUGUUGUGAGAAAUGAAGUAAUUCAGGAUAGGAUGUUAUAUGUUUUUUUUUUUAUAUUUUGGUUUAAGUUAGAGAUAUUAAAUGAUUCUUUAUUUGAAUUUCAGGGCUUAAAAGAUACAGUUAGUGAGAUAUUUUCAAAUGCACAACAUAGGUAAAUGAUUAAUUAUAAUCUUAUAUUGUUAAUAUUUUAAAAUACUUUAUUAAUCACUACUUGUUUUUGUUAAUAGGUUUUGUUGCAACCACUUGUUGAAUAACUUCAAGCUUCGAUUCAGGUCUUUAAUACUAACAACAGAGUUUUGGGCGGUUGCAAUGGCUUAUAAUGAAACCAUGUUUAAUAAAGCCAUUGCUACUAUGAGAAGAAUAAAAAAUGAUGUUCUAGAAUGGUUGCUAGAUGUUGAUAGGCAAGGCAUACAAUUGAUCCAAUCUGUAAAAGUGAUCAUGUGACCAACAAUGUGUGUGAAGUGUUUAAUGCAUGGAUUGUAGAUGAUAGAAAGAAGACUAUGUUGUCUAUGAUGGAGUCUAUUGUGUGUAGAUUAAUGGGAACAUUUGAAAGAAGGUUUGCAAAGGGUUGUGGUUUUGAGCACAACAUAACUCCUAAUAUUCGGAAGGUUUUAAACACUAACAUGCAAGAUGGGAGGUUCUGUACAAUGACUUAGUUUACUUAGUUUGCCAUGUUUUACUUCUAUGUAUCUACUUAGUGUUUACCAUGGAGUGCUGGUUAUAUAGUUAUGGAACAUUUAAUUUCUAUAUGUGUAUGUUAAUUUUACAUGCUUAGUUAGUGUAUAUAAUGAUGCGGUAAUUAUUAAUAUAUUUUUUAUUGUUCGUUUUUAUUUUAUUAUUUCAAGCAAAUGAUGAUGCAAGUAUAUGUGAUAUACCUUUCAGUGCAAGAGAAUUAUACGGUGCCAACAAAAUUUAGGAUAUUUUUUAUGUAUUUUGUUUUUAAAAUUUCAUAUGAGACUACUUUUAGUUUUUUUCUCCAGAUUUUAUGGUGUAUUUGGAUUUAUAAUGAAACAUGAACCGUAACUCUUUCAACUUUGUUAUGUUUUUUUAGUUAUUUGCAAUGAAAUUUUAUUAUUGCUAACAAAAUUUGGAUUUAGUAUUGUAAGUUUAAAUAAUUAUUAUAGAUUAAUGAGAUUAAAGUUAUAAAAAUUAUGAAAUGAAAUUGAGGUUAAAAUCCUCUAGAAACAUAUAAUAGUUACCUUCCUGCAGGUUUCCAUAUAUAAUUUCGAGUAGUGAAGAUUGAAAAUCUCCACAAUUAAACGAUCUUAAAUAGUGAAGGUUUAAAGCCUUCAUGCUAAAUAAUACAAAAAUCUCCUCAAAUAGUGGAGGUUAAAAAACUCCUCAAAUAGUGGAUGUUAAACUAAUGAAUGAUGAUUCAUUCCUAAAUAAAUACAUUUAAUACAAAUAUUGAUAAUAAAUGAAUAAAUAUAUUGAAAGAAUAAACUAAUAAAUACGAUGUUACUAUUAAAGACAUAUUACUAAUAUGUUAUUAUCUAGAAAACUAAUUAAUAUAUAUUACACAUAAUUUUCAUUAAUUUCUUAAAUAUAGGUAAUGGAUAGAAUAUAAAAAUAGUCAUAAUAAAUACUAAAUAGAUUUUGAUGAAAAAGAAAGGUUUGAGUUAGGUUUAUUUUAUAAAAUAAAUUAUGAAAAAAAUUUUUUUAGGAGGUUGAAUAAGUUAAAUGAUAGAAAGGUUUUUUAAUUAAAAAAAAUAAAUAAGAUACUACAUUGGUUGUUAAUUGAUGUUGCAUCCCAACUUUCAGUCAAUCAUCAGUUAUAUGACAGGUUUGGAUCCACCACUAUAUUUUUGCGGUCAAAAUAAAGAAAACAUUCUUUAAACCCACCUUUAAGGAAUAUGUUGUCUCACAUGAUAGGAUUUUGCUCCUACGUCUCCCUCUCGGCAAUAGAGAAUCAAGACUACCUAGUUCUUUAGUAGAAAAUAGUUUGUUGGUUGAGUUUAUAUUAUUUCUGAAUAGGAGAAGAUGUUUUAAUUUUAAUAUGGUGUCCAUAAUUAAAUGAGUAAAUUACAACCAUAAUGUAUGAUAUCGCAUUUCAUAUUAAGGAGGUAAAGCUUAACCAAAAUCAAUAUUUUUUAAUGUUUAAAGGUUUUUUAGAAAGGUGAUACACAAAGGAAGAGAUUAGCUGCAAAAAUAAUUAAUCGAUCCCAUUAGGAUUCUCUAGUGUUUCUCUCUAGAACUUUUAUGUUACUCUCUGUUUUCUGGAAUAUUUUGAUGUGUUUUCCGGUUUUUUCACUUUGUCAAGAAUGCAAUACCUCUAUUUAUUGGAUGGACUUCACAUAUGCAUAAAAUAAAAGUGAAUCACUUUCAUUAAUGCAUCGAAUCAAUUAAAACAUUUUAUUGGGUGUAAGAUUGUUUCUGAGAUAUCUAGAAAUAUCUCUUAAUAACUUUAUAAAGUCAUAGAAUAUUAUGGUGACACUCAUAUUAAUUCGGCUUUAAAAUUAAAAGUGUCCCAAAUGCUCUAUUUUGGGUAGAAAUUUCAUAACAAGUUCAAAAGGAAAUCACAAAUGUUCUUUUAUAAAAUGGGAUCUCUCCAUUAAUAGGUUAAUAAAUUCAUUAAGUCACUUAAAACCCUUUUUGAUUUUAUUUUAAAAAUAAAAUUAAAAUUGGUGAGAGAAAUUAAUUUGAAAUAAUAUCCUUGUAAAAAAAAUUAAAAAUUGUAUCCAAUAAAUCUUGAAAUAGUAUCCCACCAUUAUUGAGUCAAAUAAGUGAUCUUUAAAUACCAUUGUUUAUUGUAAAGAAAAUCAAAAGUUGGGAGGGAAGUUGACUUAGAUGGUGUAUCUAGUCAAUUUAUUCACAUUAAGUCAUUUAAACCCGUUUUUUAUAUGAGUGUAAAAUAAAAAUUUAUCCUUUUUAUUUGUUGUUUACCAUAAUAGCGAGCAAAUUGAAGUUUGAAAGAUAUCAUGUCAGGUAACUAUUAAGGAAUUGAACACUGAUUUUGUCAAGGUUAAAAGAACUUACAUAUUCAAACUUUAGAUGCCUCGUAGUGAGGUUGAAACUAGUCAACGAUGCAGACUGAAAUACAGUAACCAUUAGUUUUAUGUAGUAGCUCGGGAAGCUUCUGGAAUGGAAAUCAUCAAUUUGUUGCGGCAGUUCUAGAAUCUGCUGAAAGGGAAACCAUCAAUUUUGUGACAUAGUCUGAGAAUCUUCUGAAAAAUGAAACAAUCGAUUUGGUGAAGGAGUUUGAGACUAUGCUGAAAGGGAAACCACCGAUUUGAUGAAGUAGUUUGAGAAUCUACUUAAAGGGAAACCAUCGAUUUGGUGAAGCAAUUAGAGAAUCUUCUAAAAGGGAAACCAUUGACUUGGUCAAGUACAUCGAGAAUCUGCUGAAAUGGAAACCAUCAGUUUGGUUAAGUAGUACGAGAAUCUGCUAAAAGGGAAACAAUCGAUUUCGUGAAGCAUUUUGAGAAUAUUCUGAAAGGGUAACCAUCUAUUUGGUGAAGUAGUUUGAGAAUCUGUUGAAAAUAAUGAACCAUCACUUUGGUGAAGCAUUUUGACAAUCUGUUGAAAUUAUAACCAUUGAUUUUGCGAAGCAGAUCGAUAAUCUACUAAAAGGGAAACCAUCGAUCUAGUGAAGCAUAUCAAGAAUAUGCUAAAAGGGAAACCAUUGAUUUUGUGAAGCAUGUCGAGAAUCUAGGAUAGAGAAACUAUCGAUUUGCUGAAAAAAUUGAGAAUAUGGUGAAAGGGAAACCAACAGUUUGAUGAAGUAGUUCGAGAAUCUACUGAAAAGGAAAUCGCUGAUUCGAAGAGUCAGAUCGGGAAUCUAUUGAAACAAGGCUUACGGGCGUCUCAACAUCAGAGUGUGAACAUGAUGAUAAACGUAGUUGAGAAAGGGAUGGCCCCACAUUGUCUAGGCCAAUUAUAUAUGUAGUUGGGAUGUGAAGAUGCAUGUAUUGAUGUUUGAUUAUUUGUGGAUAUGAAAUGACUUGAAUAUAAAUUUUCUUCUAUAUUUUGUAUGAGAUGAGUAUACAAUAAAGGGAAAGACUCAUACACAAAUAUUCUAAUGUAUCACUCUUGAUUUAUUUUUUCUUGGGAUGGAAAUCAUAAACCUUUGUGGAUUUGACUAAAGCAUCCAUUUAUGAUUAUUUUUUUUAGCAUGAUUGAAUGACAACUUGUCUUUCUUAAAAGUGCUUUAGUUUGCUUGAGGAGACAUUUCCAUUAAAGUAAUUCAUACAAUGUGCCCUAGUGCCGUCUUGAAUGACUAAACUCACAUAUAUUGCUCUAGCGUAGGUUGGCUGAGAGUUUCUUUCAAAUGUGUUUGAAUCAAAAAUUUAUCAUUGUGCCUAUUUUGAACUUUUGACUUCAACUUGGAUGCCAUUAUUCAGAUUCUCCAUAAAGAUGCCCCAAUUUGGGAAAUUAAGGAUAAGGGGUAGUAAGCCUUCACAUUGAGGUGCACAUUUAAUUUUCCUUAACUUUUAUCAAGAAUACCUAGUGUAUGUGCUUGUCGAGAAUUUUCUCAUUUAUUAUCAUCCUUAACCACCUUUUCAUUUUUUGACUUAUAAUCACUCUCCUUUUCCUAGAUUGCUCAUGUGGGUUUUCAACCUAGCACACAUUUUUUGUUUUUUUUCUUUGAUUUUUACUUUUUACUUUCUUUAACACCGUCGACUUGGUGGCCUCAUUUGAUAGUAAGUAGAAGUCUUGUGUUGGUCAUUGUUGGAGUUGUUCUUCACAAUCAUAACAUAGUAUCAUUCACUUCUUGGUUGAUAGAUUAUCCAUUUUCUAUUAUUGGCAUGACUUAUAAGGCCAUGGGAAGCAACUCCGUACUGCCUCAUUUUUUGGCUUCUUGUAACUUUUCACUAGAAAAAUGGGAACACCCCAAAAAAAUGGCCCAACAUGGAUACAAGGAUUUAUCCUUCUAUUCAAAUUGUCCUGAAAUGAAAAAUUUGGAAGGACUUAGACAAUGAAUCAUCUCAAAAUAUGCCCUAGUUUGAAAGGUUUCCAUGUUUCUUUUACUUUAGAAGUCUUUAUUGUAUGCACAACUCUUUAAGAAUAAAUAUUAAAACAAUGAUCAUGCAAACUUGACAAGUGUUUGGAUUAUGUGUGGUGAUACGAUAAUGAUUAUAAAAUUUAAUUUUUGUUUAAGCUUUUGUAUAUGUGUUGUUUAAUUUGUAUGUGGUUGCGAGUGUUGAUAUGUUUAUGAUGAAUAUAAAAUGGAACUUGUGUUUGGGUUUUGAAUUUUGUUGAUGGUGGUGAUGGUGAUGAUGAGAACCCUAUAAGUUAACGCAUAAGGAACGAUUAUGAUCUCCAAUGUACCAAAUCACAAAUAGUUUUCACCUCUCCCCAUCAGAGAGAAAAUGAAGCUCCCAAAAAAAAUAAUGAUUUGGUUGAGGAAGCGCAUCAUACCAAAACUCUCUGAAAAUGUAUAUCAAAAAAGUAGAUCAGAGAACAUGGAUUCAGGUAUAACUUUGUAUCAUAGUUCUAUAUUAUGUAUGAGAAUCAUGAGAUUCAAGGUCCUAGGAUUGGUAUUUCACCAAUCAUUAGGAAAUAUAUGACAACUAGUAUCAAAUCUUUAGGUUCUGAAUUUUAUGGUUCUCCAUUAAAGAUGUUUUUACCAAAUUUUUUUAUAAACCCUAAUUUUUUAAAUUUGGGGAUUUUUAUGCUUCUGCUCUUGGUUAUGGGAAUAGUGUAUUUAUGAAUAAUGACGAUAACUUUUAUCCGCUUCCGCUUAUUUGAACUAUGAGUUGUUUGUAUUAUGAAUCCUUACAACAUGUGUUGAAGUAUAUAUUUAGAUUUGUGCAUGAACAUUGCAUUAACUUUUAUGACUCUAUUAUGCAAUAUGUAUAUUAUAGGUGCACUAGUGCCUUACUGUUGGACAUUGACUUUUUCACUUUAUAAUUUUGCAAUUGGCUGACGUAUAUCUAUAAGGUAUAUAUGAGUUAAGUUGUGAUUAUCACUUAUACAUAUACGAUAUGGAAUUCAUUGUCUUGUAUAUAUAUUAUGAAUUAAAAUAUACAUAUAAAAAUUGUAAUUGUUUCCAACUUGAGGUUGUUGUGAUGUUUGAAAUUACUUAUAAAAGUUAAUAUAUAUAUAUAAAAUGGUUACAAUACUUAAAGUUAUAUAUACAUUUACUAUGUUAGUGUGUGAAAGUGUAUAUACAUUGUACAUAUAUGUUUUAAGAUAUGCAUGAUCAUAUUCAAUUUGGAAUUUUUUAUAAUGAUUUGCAUAUAUCUUUUUAUGCUUUUCACUCUAGAUCAAUUUUUUAUUUUAUUAAGAUUACAUCCAUUUUUAUAUGUUGAUAUAUAUGCCAUAUAUCUUUUUUGAUUUGGAAUUAUAUUAUUGGAUUAGAUUUGUUAAUCAUAAAAGAUAUUAAAUCUGAAGGUUUUAAUUCCAAGAUCAUAAUUUAUUUUAUAAUGGACCUAUAUUGUUUUCCUUUUCUGUGGUAAUUAUUUUUGAAAUAAUUGGUGCAAUUGUUGUCAAAGUAACCUUUAUCGUGGAAAUUGAUAAAUAAUACAUAGAUGAGUAUGAGAUUAUUUAUGAGAAUUGUGUUUUGUCAAGUAAUAACAUACAUGUGAUGAUAAAUAAGUAACAAUUAUAAAGUUUUUUUCUUGUGAAUAAUAGUCGAUCCAAAGAAAGACUAUUGUUUGACAAAACUAAUUGUUAAUAUUUGAUCAUUACGUUGAGAGUACCACUUACAAAUUAUUUUCUCUGUCCGAAGACUAGAAAUUGAUGUUGUGCUAGGUAUCUUGUGACGAGUCUAUUAUGUGAACAUGUCUUGUUUUAUAUGUAUUACCUGAUUUGUUUGUUUAAAUGGUUGCAACACUUACGGUUUUUUGUAUUAGUUGGUAGCUGAUUGCAUUAUUAAGAGGUUGCUAUUGUUGAAACACUAUUUCCAUUUGAACACUGUGUCGUACUAUGUUUAGUCAUGUAUAAAAUGGUAAUAUAUUUUUAAUGGAAAAUUAAAAAGAACCAUCACUGGAAUUUGAAAAGCAGAUCUUUGUGAUGGAAAUUAUGCAAUGCUACCAACAGGCUAUAGUGUAUAUAUUAUAUAUAUGUGGAUAUAAAUAAUUCAUAUUUUGGAUUAAGUGUUGAAUCAAACUUAGUUAAAUGGUUUUAAUGAAAUUGUUUGACAUUUUAAGUGAACCUAUUAAAUAAGAAGUCGCCAAAGUGACAUCUUUUCUAUGAAUUGUUCAUAAUAAAUGUCAAAUACUAGUGUGAAUAAGUAUCUAUGCGAGUAUUAAUUGGCUCAAAUGAAGAUUAUUAUUUGGUCGAAUUAUAUACAUACAUAUGAUGGUAAACAUGUGACUAUUUUAAGGUUGAAAAUGUGAAUGAUAAAUUAGUCUAAAGAAAGAUUGAUUAUUUGACAUGCAUUAUGAUUAAUGUUUAACCCUAACAAACAAAUAUCAUUAGUGAUUGAUAUUAAAUAUCAAGCCAAAUGAAUGUUUGCAUUUUAUGUGACUAGUGAUCAGCCCAAAGGAAUAUUAUUAUUUGGCCCAAAUUACAAACAUACUUGUAGUAAUAAUAUGUAAUAAUCAUAUGCCUUUCCAUGUGAAUAAUAAGUCGAUCCAAAGAAUAGCUUAUUGUUUGAUAUGACUGAUUAACAAUGUUCGAUUACUAUAUUGAGCGUACCACUUAUAAGUUAAUAUUUUUAUCCAAAGACUAAAUAUUAAUGUUGUGUUAGGUAACUCAUGAUGUGCCCCACCAUCAUUUGAAUUUAGGUUUUAAAGUUGAAUGUGAGUUUAAUUGCAAGAAUGGUUGCAAGAAUGACUACAAUUUGUUUUGUUCUUUUACUAGUGCUACAAAUAUUUUUGUUCAAAUCGAGAAUAUCUCAUUGUUGAAUGGGACACACAUUAAGGUCUAUAAGGAAGCCGUGGAAAUUAUUCUCGGCUAUAUGGAUUUAGAUCUGGUACUUCAAGUGGAGGAAUCCAUUUCAACUCUGUAAAUCCUCGAUGAGGUUAAAAUUGAGAAAUUGGGAUUCUCUUAUCGUAUGUGUCUAAUGAUCAUGAAACAAUAUAUUCUAGAAGUGUUUCAGAAUUCUAUUUUUGAGGGUCAAAGUGCAAGGAAGUUCCUUCAAGAAAUAGAACCAUACUUUUGCAAAAAUGAGAAGGCGGAGACUAGUAGCUUUUUUGGGUGAAAUCAUCUCCAUGAAGUAUAAAAGCAUAUGGAACAUAAGGAAGUACAUUAUGGAGAUGCCUAAUCUUGCAUCAAAACUCAAGUCACUUAAGUUAGAGCUGGGUGAUGACUUGCUCGUGCACUUGGUUUUGAUCUCGCUUCCUGCACACUUUGGGACAUUCAAAGUGAGCUAUAACUCUCAAAAGAACAAAUGGUCUCUCAAUGAGUUUAUAUAUCAUUGUGUCCAAGAGAAAGAGAGGUUCUAGAGAGAUAAGACUGAAAGUGCUCAUUUGGCUAUGACCACUCAGAAUAAGACAAGAACGAACAAUAUGGAUGUUGUGAAAGAGUUAUUUGUGUUUUUCGUAAGAGAUUGUGGAUUUGUUCCGCAAUACACUAUGCCAGACAAACCUAAAAUAAAAGGUGUUGUUGGCCGAUGAAAAGAAACUCUUAAGGAUAUGGUGAGAAUUAUGCUUAGUCAUUCUUCCACACUAGAGUCUCUUUGGAGGGGAAAAACCGUUAAUAAGACCAAGCUUAAAACAUUACACAUUUGGGGUUGUUCAGCUGAGGACGGCCUUAUAGGCCACAAGAAAGGAAACUCGACUCAAGAACAGUUAGAUGUUAUUUUGUUGGCAAUGUUGAGCGCUCUCGAGGCUAUAAAUUUUACGAUCCUACUUCAAGAUGUUUUUUUUUUUGGGACGGGAAAUGCAAGAUUUCUUGAGGAAGUUGAUUUUGGGAAGGAAGAGAACAUAAGGAAUGUUAUCUUUGAGGAAGAACAUGUCACUUGUAGUGAACAAGUUCUUGUGUCUAUUACCAUUCAAGGAACCACUUUGGUAAUAGAAGAUAAUGUUUAGGAUAUUGUUCCUGACAAUAUUCUAGAACAAGACAACAAUGAGGUUCUCUCUCAAGUACCUAAAGAAAAAAUUCAACAACCUCAAGAAGUAGGGGUGCCAUUAAGUAGAUCCACAAGAGAGAGAGGAUGUGCAAUUCCUGAUGAAUAUAUUGUAUUUCUUCAAGAACAUGGGGAUGACAUCGGGAUAACAUAAGAUGAUCGAUUGAAAAAUUGUCAAGACAUGAAAACUUCUAACUCUCAAAAGUGGAUCAAUGUCAUGAAGAAUGAGAUGAAGUCUAUGCAUGAUAAUAAUGUUUGGGAUAUUGUCGAAUUAACUGAUGUUGCGAAACCUAUUGAUAGGACAAAUUGCAAGUGGACGGUUAUAUCGUCAUGUAAUAAAAUAUCGAUCCCACGAGGACUAGAAAAUACUUUAAUUAUAACAAUUAAUUUAUAUGUAACUCAAAGAAGAAUUAUAAGUGAAUUUAGAACAAUUGAACAUUUGACAAGAAUAAUAAUGAAAAUAUUAAAAAGGAUUGAAAUCUAAUUUAGGAAGAGUUCCUAGGAUAAGGGUUUACCCCUUUACACUCACAAAUCCUUCUUUUUCUCCUUUUAAUGAACUUUAAGUUGUGAGGUUGAAUUGCUCUUUGAUAUGUGUCAUCCUCUCUCGAGCACCUACUCUCAUGGUAUGAUUAUCAAUUGAAUCAUUUACUUGGAUCUUUCUAUCCAAUCGCUUCGUAGCAAUCCAAGGUGAAUUCCAGAAAACCUUGAGAAUCGUAAGACUACUCUCCUGAAUUAGGAUUCUAGAUUGAAUAACUGAGUGAUCGGAUAGUUGGGUUCACCUCUCGGUCCUUCCCCAAUGUAUCUAAGAGAUGUAAUUUGUUGGCUAGACAACUCACACUAAUAAAACUCAGUUUAAUGAUUCAAAUCCAACACUCAAUGGAAAAGAAGUAAGAACAGUGUUUAUUGAAUGUAAAAGGGUGUGGAUCCAAUCCUAGAAACAAAGGGAAUUACUCACUCAUAAUGGAGAAGAGAAUACAAAGUUCUAAAUUAGAGAAUUGUAAUGUAAAGUAUAAAGUGUAAAGUGUGCUUAAUCCUUGAGGGAGAACCCUCAUUUAUCCUCAUUAAAAAAUAUUGGGCUCAACCCAACAAAACAAAUCUAAAAAAUAGGAAUAGAAUAUAACAUUCACGACUUCUUUUGGCCCUUCAAUUGGUCUUCGCAUAGCCUCAAUACUGAAUUUCAUCUUCUUGCACCCAAUCUCUACUCUUUUUGGCUUCAUUCCAUCCAAAUUGCACAACAUAGCCAAAAACACAUACUCAACCUGAACAAAGAGAAUUAAAAGCUAGAAACAAUCCUAUAGUGUUAAUUAUGUCCUAAAAUGCAAUUCAAAUAUAGCAUAAUUUCACACGCAUCAAAUCCUCUCAAGCUUAUCUCUUGCUUAUCCUCAAGCAAGUAUUAUGUCUAUCUUUUACAAUCACGCAUGAAUGAUGAUAUAGAAACCAUGACCCAAAAUAAUUAGCAAUCUCAUGUUAGUUUUGAAACAAUCUAGACAUUAAGACAAAACAAUCAUAAACAAAUUUAAUUCAACCUAAGUCUUUGAGUCAUAACAACUGCAUGAAUUGGGUCACUCUCCUCUCAUUACUCUCAUGUGUUUAAAGGUCAGUAUUUCGCUCAAAUUUUCAUGAAAGUAAAUUACCAUAGGCUUGAUUAUAGACCAAAUCGCACUAGAUGUAUUUGAAUGCAUGCAAAAAUUAAGAGGUCUUUAAAUGGUUGUAAUGAGGUCAAGGUGAAUGAUUUAUGGUGAGAUAAACAAAGAAAAGGUACUUCAAAAGGCUUACAAAUUAUGUUAAGAAUUUUGGAAUGGUGCAUAGAAAUGUAUUACACCAUACUUAAUUAGAAAGGAACUUCGUAUUUUUUAUGACUUCGCUACUGUGUAACUAUCCAUUUAUUCAGCAUCUCAAUCAUUUCUAAAAAGGGAUGAUAAUAAAUCAACCUUGAACAGAGUGUAGGAAAGGCUUUCUUACAAUGCUUCUAUUGUGAGAAAGGAACUUUGUGCUCUUAGUACUCGGUAAUCAUCCUGAUGUUUUGCAAUUUAAUUAUGAAAACAUUUUGUUAUUUAAUCAUCGUGAUAUUGAUAAAUCAUUUUUAACGGGUGUGAAGAAAAUGUUUUGUUAUGAUACUUUUAUUGUGACCAUAGACCAUCAACCAUUACUUAUUAUCACUAUUCACUUUCCUUGUGAUUAAACUUUCUCUUGAUUUGCAUAUACAGAUGGAAACGAGUCGAACUGACUUGAACUAGAACUCAGCUCGAUAAGGAUCUGCUCAAUUUGAAACUGAACUCAAGUGUGAUAAGGGUUAUUUUUUAGCUCGGGUUUAACUCGUUUAAGUUCACGAAUUGCUCAACUCAACUUGAAUUGGUUCAUUUAUAUAACUCAAUUAAUAAAUAUAUUUUUAAAAAAAAUAUUGCAUAAGGUUAUAUAUAUAUAUAUAUAUAUAUCUAUAAGUAAUUUGUUCACCAAGUGAGAAUCAUUAAAGAUAUAAUUUUGUUCAAUUUUAAGAUUUGUCUAUGAUGGAUGUGAAGCCUAGGUUAUUUGUUUAGAAGAAUUUUGAUUGCCUAAAUGUUGGGGUGUAAUCAUUUUGAGGCUGAAAUAGACAAAUGGAAAGUCAUUAUACUAUAUAAUAUGAGAUGGGCAAGUCUCAUUUUCCAUAUUUUUCAAAGUUAUCAUCGAAAAGAUUAUAAAUGUAUCGAUACUAUUGUACAUGCUUUUUUUUACUUGGACUAUUCUUGAAAAAUAGACACCAUCUCGUGUACUUCUUAUUCUUAUAUUUAAAUGUAUAAAAUAUAAUGAGAUUUUGAUUUCUUCCAUCACAUUUUUCAUAUAACAAUUCAUAUCAACAUAACUAUUUCUUAAAUUUUGUUGCAUAAAAGUAUUUCAAUUAAAAAAAUAAAAUAAAAUAAAAUAAAAUAAAAACUUUGGAUUAUAAUAUGGGAUAUUAACUAUGAUACUUCCAAAUAAGAAACUAAAAAAAGCUCAAGGGCUUAGGAUCUGAGUUGUUGUCUUUGAUUCAUUUGGAGAAUUAAAAUAAUUUAGUUAAGAAGUGUGUGAAACUCUUAUUCUUUUAAGUACGAAGUAAAUGCAAUAUCAAUGAAUGCAAUAGGUAUAAUAUAUAAUAUAUAAUUAUAUUAGUUAAAUUACAUAAGAACAUAUAGAUUGAUGAAGGGCAUUGCAUGUAAAACUUUCAAGGUAGAUUUUUUUAUUAAUAAUAGUACAUAGGUAAAACUCUAGUUUUAUUAAUAUAUCGUGGCUCACUAUGAGCUCUUACAUGAUAGUAGAUAGCAGCUUAGUAAAGAGUGAUCUAAAUGGAAAAGAUAAGACCCCUUCUUCCACGCCUUCCCUCCUUCUCCCUUUGCUGUUGCUGCUGAGGUUGAGCAUUUGCAAAGUAAGAUUGUUGUUGGUUCUUAAUUAAUCUCUCAACAUCUUCAACAGAACCAGGGAAUGUAAGCUGCUUCACUUCUUUAUCUAACUGUCUUAUCACAUUGUCUUCAGAACCUUUCAAUUUUCAAUAAUUUCCAAACAUAACAAUAUGAGUUAGUAACGCCAAAACCAAAGUCAUAAAGCAAAUAUUAUAAUUUACAAUUAGGUAUUUGUGCCAAAAGUUUAAUUUGUUGCCACAUUGGCUUCGUCCAAAGAUAUAGUUGGUGAUUUGGCGAUCAAUUUUAUAACUGUGUAUCUACCUUUUAAAUAGCAUGUUUAGAUUAAAUUAAAAUAUAUUUAAUUAUAAACUUUGAAGUUGAAUAAUGUUUAUGGUACCUGCAAGGAAAUUCCUCUGGUUUUCAUCAGCAUUGAUGCCAAAUCCAAGCAAGCGAAGAUUUGAGGAAGCGUUGAUGGAAAUUGGAUGACCUGCUGGAAUUACGAAAAUGUCACCUUCUGAUAAUUUAGCAUUGUACCUUCUCACUUCUUCCUGUUCUUGCUCAUCUUGUUGUCGUUCUUGAUCUCUUAUACCCACCAGUUCAUAAUUUCCUUCUCCUUCAUCAACCACGACUACAAAUAUGGCCUUUGAGUUAUAGUGUGGUAACAACAAACCUCCCUAACAUAAAAAAAUCAAAUCAUUAGUAAUAGUAUUGUUGUCUAAGACACAACACCAGUGAAUAAGUUCAAGGAAUUGUGUGUAUUGUUAUUUGGGGUUGGAUGUAAAUAAUGUACCUCGUUAAUUUCUAUGAAGGUGAGAGAGAUAUCCAAAUCCUGAGCUUGAGGGUUUCUGUCUGGGGUGAUCUCGUAGAAGUUGCCAAACUUGUUUGAAUAAAUGGGUUCAUCGCUUCUCAAGUUGAAGGGGCCAGAUUCAGAUGGUUUGCCUUUUCCUGAUGAUGAUUGAGCAUGUUUUCUCAAUUCUUGGAUCUGUUCCUUUGACACUCUCACUAUCACCCCCUCAUCUUGGUGGCUCUGCUCUUGUCCACGACUUUGCUCCUCAUCUUCCUGCCCGUCCUCAUUUCCUAAAAUAAUCCUUUGUAUCUCUUCAUAACGGGUCUAUAUUUGAAAUCCAAACAAACAAAUAUGUGAUCAUUAGUACAUAUACUCAAUAAAUAAUUGUGCAACCAACGCAGAUCAGAUGUCAUACAUUGAAGGUGGCCUCUAAAGUGUUCCUACUGAAGCCGUUGAAGUAAGACUGUUGGUCUUUAGUACUUGAUGGAUAGAAAUCCUAUAAAUAUACAAAUAUAGAGAGAAAGGAGGAAGAAAUUAAAAUUACAUGGUGUUAAAUAUGCAAUGGGUGCAUAGAAAAUUAGAUGAUAUAAACAUAAAAGAUAAUAUGAUUGGAGAAAGAACAUUACAUAGAAGUUGCCAGGGUUGUUGAUGGGUAUUGCGAGCUUGACUACUCUAAGGUUCUGGUUGUCAUCCGGGUUAAGGAUAUAAGAAGUUGUUCCAGCUGGGAGUCUGAGAGCAUCUCCAUGCUCAAGGUUAUAUGCUUGUCUUUUAUCAGGGUUGACUAUCGUGAUUGUGGCUCUACCUGCAAUUCCAAAAUAAUGAAUGUAACAAAUCAUUCAUUCUCAUUAAUUAAUUGGCAGAAAUGAUUACUACUAGUAGUAAGUAAGGUUUUAAAUUUAGGUUAGCGACCUCAAUUUAAAUCCUUGAUAAUAGUUACCAUUGAGUACAACGAGGAUGUAGUCAGCAUCAGAGUGUUUAGGGAGAAUGAGAGUGUUAGGUUUUGAUUGGAACUCCACAAUGCGGUAGUUUUGGAGAUUCUCAAGUCUAUUGGUUCUCUGGUCAAACCUCUCAAGCACACGGAUUUGGCCAUUCCUAUUUCUGUAAAGAGUUUGGAAUCUUUCAGAGCUGAAGUAAUAAGGGUUCCUCUGUCUGCGUGAGUCUGAGCGAGAACCUUGCUCUUGCUCUUGUUCUCUCUCUUCCCUCUGUUCCCUCCUCUCAUAACCACUUUGCCUACGUGAGCUAGAGCUAGAGCCUUGCUCUUGCUCUCUCUCUUCCCUUCUACUUUGAGGUCGUUGUCUCCUCGGUUGCCACUCUUCUUCCUCCUCUCUCCUUCCAUGUUGAGGUUGUUGUUCUUGCUCCCUCCCUCUACUAGGUUCUCUCCUUUGUUCACGCUCUUCCUCUCGGCUUUCUUCGCUCUCGCUCCUACCACGUGAUGGCUCACGAUUACGCUCCUCCUCUCUCCCAUGCUCUCUUUCUUGCUCCUCCUGAUGGCGAGGGCGUGGUUGUUGUCUUGGGUCACGCUCCUCUUGUUCUCUUUCCUGAGGCCUCUCAUGAUUCUUUAUUGCAUUUUUUUCUCCGUAAGCAAUACCGAUUGACACUGCCAUGAGGAAUACUAUUCCUAGUAGCAACACUAACGUUGGAAACUUCACUCUCAUAUUAGCCAUAUUUUAUUAUAUUAGAUUGCACUCGAUGAUGNNNNNNNNNNNNNNNNNNNNNNNNNNNNNNNNNNNNNNNNNNNNNNNNNNNNNNNNNNNNNNNNNNNNNNNNNNNNNNNNNNNNNNNNNNNNNNNNNNNNUAUAUAAUUAAAAAUAAAUUGUUGCAUAAAUAACGUACAAUACUAGUGUACGAAUAAUGAUAUUUGUUGAGCUGUUAAGGUUAUACCAAUACCUUACAUAUAAGAUUCAGUUAUAUAUGAUUGUCAAUCACGUGGUUACUAGGUGUGAAUUAAAGAUCCGAUUAAACAAGAUUUGGUCAUAUAUGAUCAUUGAUUACUAGAAUUUCUAACUUAACUGUGUGAAAGAACGAUAUUGGAAGAACUAUUUCUAAAUAUUUGUAUGAUACAAAUUAGAUAAAAUAGCAAAUAAUCUAUAUAAUGAAUGAUACACAUACUUCAGUGGGACAAAGGGGGGAGUAAACUUUACACUAACAACUCAAGGGUACAGAGAAUUUUAAUUUAGUGAUCAAGUAUUAAAUUAUAGCUGUGAUGAUAAGUUAUAUAUACUAAUUUUUUUAUAUAUUUACUUCCAACUUAUUGAAACUUGAGAAGUAUGCUUACAUUUAGAGAUGUAUAGUUAUUAGUCAUAAGUGUCAUCAAAUCGGUCAGAGUAAUAGUAUAGUGGUAUAGUGGUUCAACCGAUGGUUCAUUAAUUAAUUUUAUGUCGGUUAAAUCCGACAUACAUGCUUAUCUAUACAAUCUUUAAUAAAAAAAUUAACUAGGUAAAUACUCAAAUUUAAAAUUCAUGUUCUUAGUCUACUAAGAAUACCCAUAGAUAAACAAUUUUAACAAACAAAGUCUGGCCCAUCUUCCAUUGAUGCAAAUCAACUAAUUGAACAAAUAAAAGAACUAAGUAAGGAAGACGCACUUUACAAUAACAAUUAAAAAUCCUAACAUGUAAGGUAAGAAGAAAGAGAGAGAUGAUUUAAGGCGGGAGAUGAUAUAAACACACACCUUAAUGGGCAAUGACUUCAACUCUACAAAGAAUUGGAUGGAACGAAGAUGAUAGGUCGGUGGAAGGGACUGGACAAAGAUGAUACCUCGGGGAAGCCUGGAACUAUAAAAGAAAUGAAGAAGGGUUGAAGAAGUGUGAACAGUGGAAGGAGAAAAAUCGAAUAAGGGUAGAAGAAUUGUGAACCGUGUAGCCUAGAACUUUUUUGAAAACCCUACUUCCCUAAAACGACGCCAUUUAUGGUUAUUUUUUAAGAAUAAAAUACAUGUAUAAACCGGCUAAUUUAGUCAAAUUUCGCCUGGUUCACCAGUUUUGACCAAAUUCGGUCGGUUUUCACUGGUUUUGAUACUUGGUUAGUAUCAUAACCAUACUGUAUCGGUUAGGGGUUCGGUUCACCGGUUCUUCGAUUGACAUGGACGGUACGGUUUUUACGUUAUGGUUUGUUAAUGAGAUGGGGAAUAAGUAUUUUAACAAUCAAAAAUCAAAAUUAUAAAAGGUAAAUAAUUAAGUUUAUUUCCUAAUAUUUGGUGUAUCUUUCAAUAAUUAUAUUAAAUUCGUUUUCGUACUAACUUAAGUGAAGAAAAAAAUUAAGUAAGAGAAAACUGGUGAUUAUUUAUAAAUGUUAGGGUUGCAAUUUGUUCACCAAGUAAUAAUCAUUAAAGAUAUAAUGUUGUAUUUGUGGAUGAUGGUUGUUAAAGUCUAGGUUAUUUUAUAGAAAUUUUUUAUUGCCUAAACGUUGGGGUGUAAUCAUUUUUAGGCUGAAAUAGACAAAUGGAAUGUCAUAUUACUAUAUGAGAUGCUCAAGUUUUAUUUUCCAUGUUUUUUUUAAAAUUAUCAUAUGAAAGAUUAUAAAAAAUAUUGAUAUAUUUUUGUACGUUUUAUAUUGACAAUGCUUUUUUAUUUGGGUUAUUCUAGAUAGAAGGUGUUUGUCUAAUAUUGUAAAGCCUCAUUAGAUCCUCAAGAUGACUAAAACGUCAAUGGUUCGAUUUAUGUAAGCGACAUUUGUUGGCAGGGGCAGUCAUACACCCCAAAAGAGAUUAGUUUCUUACCCAAGGGUGAAGGGAUACCGUUUUUUGUACCCAAAAAAAUAAACAUUGUCUUGUGGACAUCUUACUCUUAUUUAUAAAUGUAUAAUAUAUAAUUACAUUUUCAGUUCUUCCAUAUCAUAAAUAUUUCAUAAAACAAUUCAUAUCAACAUAAUUAUUUCUUAAAUUCUUUUGCUUAAUAUUUUUUACCAUUGUGAUCUAGUGUUAAUCUUUUAUAAUUUUUCAAAUUUAUUUAAUAAAUGCAUAGACACAUUUUCUUAAUAUAUAUGAUAGUGAAUUAAAAAAUCAAAUAAAAUUAAAUAAAACCUUUAGAUGAUAAUAUGAGAUAUUAACUAUGAUACUUCUACACAAGAAACUGAAAAAAGCUCAAGGGCUUAUGAUCUGAGUUAUUGUCUUGGAUUCAUUUUGAGAAUUAAAAUAAUUUAGUUGAGAAUUGUGUGAAACUCUUAUUUUUUAAGUGAGAAGUAAAUGCAAUAUCAAUGAAGGAGUGCAAUAAAAUAAAAGAGAAGAAGAUAAAAUAAUUUAUUAAUAGGGUUCUGAUCAAUUUUGUAUACGUGCCUAGAAGCGUACAGUAGUUAUCAAUAUGUAUUUUUAGAGAAUAAGAAUUAUAAGUUCUAACAAAUUCAUGGGUAUAAAACUCAUAUGGUGUUUCUAAUUUGUGCAAGUUAUAAUAAGUAUCUUGAGCCUAAUAUUUAACAUUGUUUUUCUCAUUCUUCCAAUACUAGGCAAUGUUUUACUUAUUAUAAUAAUAUAUUUCAAGCAAUCUUCACCUUAGUGAAUAUUUUAUUCCUUAAUAAAUAUACGCAACAAUCACCACCUUAGUGAAUAUCCAACUCCAUAUUACGCAAUGACUAACUCUUUUUAUGAGCUCCUCCAUUGGACUUCUUCCACAUGUGAGAAUGCUCAUCUUCAACAUAAGUCGAGUAUCCUUUAUGAUAUUACCAAGAUUUAAGUUGUCCCAACUCAAAUUUUGAUGGAGAACCAAUUUCACGACUUCGGAGUAUGGGGAAAUAGAUUCCUUUUCUACAAAAUGAUUUGGAGUUGUCACUACAUUUUUUUUAUCAGAAUAUAAAUUUUUUCUUUAUACCCAAAUAGAAAACAAAUAUGAUUAUUGAACUAAAGUUCAAAGCUUGGGAGUCAAUUACAGGUCGGGAAAGGUAUUCACACCUCAUCUGAUCGUAUUAAAACAAUACCCACGCUAACUAGAUGGAUCCUUAUGCCCUCGAUUUAUUUUUUAAAAUAUUAAUUACUAAAGAAAAGUAGUAUUUUUUUUUUACCUACGAAGAGCUUAUUUGCUUUAAUGCAUCCUCAUGUUGUAAUAUGAAAAUCAAGACAACAUAGUUCAUGGCUGAAAAUUGAUCAAUGGAUUUGUAUAAAUUUUAUUAAAGAACUAAUAUAAAAUUAAAGGAGGUCAAUAGCAUAAGAGAUUGUAUUAGUUGUGAACCGACAUCUCAAUUUGAGAGGUAACAUAGAUAGUAUUGAUAACCGCAAUUGUUUCUCUACAUAUAUAAGAAAUUAAGAUACCACAUGAAUAUCAAACUCAUUAUUAGAUUCCAAAAACGGUUUAUCGAUUUUCAUAUAAAAAACUCACAACCACACAAAUUUCUUAUCAUAACAAUGGUGAUUUUAAGUUGUUUUACUAUAUACUAUAUAUUUCCAUUAACAAUAUACAAAUCCUCAUUCCAUUUUCCAUUAUAUAAUUAACAUAACUAAGUUAAUUAACAUGGUCAAGUUCCUUAUGCAUACUCAAGUCCUUGCAGCUUUCUUCGCUGUCAUUCUACUUCUAGCACAUAUUGAGAUGUGUCCUAUAUUAAGUAUUAAUAUAGAAGCAUAAAUCAAACCCAAAACCAUGAAUAGUUGGUUAUCUCAGAAUAAUUGUUUAACAUCAGCAUCAAGGUAUGACACACCGACAUGGUGGUUGUCUUUUAAAUAGGAAAAGUCUCUUGUCUCCGUCUAACAUCAGCAUCAAGCAUGCUACCAAAUUCCAAUAUAGGGAUUUAUAUUUUGAAGAAUAAUUAUUAUCAUUGAUAUAUUAUACCUUAUUUUUUAUUAUAUUUUUUAAUGUCUAGGUAAAAUGAUCGAAGUGGUUGAGAACCUGGAUACUAUCAUUCAUGAAGUAGUAAUCACUGAUGAUGAGGACUAUGUGGAGGAAAUAGAUGAGAGUGAAAGUGAGAGUGAGGAAGUGAAUGAAAGUGAAGGUUUGGAUAGUGUAAAUGACAACGAUGGAUUUAAUAACUAUGAUGAAAAACUAGAUUUUUGUGUGGGGGUUCAUUCAGAUGAUGAUUUAGUUGAAAUUUAUGUUGAGAGAAAGGUGGUUGGAGAACAAUUUAAACUCCAAUCUAAUGGUAAGGUGAAACUUCAAAUCAAUAUGUUACUAUUGUUAGAGAAACUUCAAACCAAUAUGUUCAUAAACGACUUACCGGCUUGAGAUACUAUUGUUAGAGAAACAAAUCCUGGGAGUAAAGUGACGAUGGAGUUUGCAAGGGUCACAAUUGAUAGGAACCCACAAUUUAAACGAUUAUUUGUAUGUCUUGGUGCAAGGAAAAAAAGAUUUGUUAGAGGUUGUAAGCCUUGGUUUAGAAUUGAUGGAUGCCAUUUAAAAGGUCCUUAUGGAGGAAUUUUACUUGUUACAGUUGCCCUUGAUGGAAAUAAGGGUAUAUUUUUUAUUGCAAUUGUUGUGGUAGAGGUGGAGUGUAAGGAUUCAUGGAGGUUUUUUCUAACCUUAUUAACUGAAACUUUGCACACUCUACCAAAAUGGAAGGAGGAUAAACUAACCAUUAUGUCAUAUACACAAAAGGUUAGUGUGUUUAAAUUAUAUAUCUCCCUAUAGUGAAUAGAUAAUGUCUCUCUAAUUAUUGCUAUUCUACUUAAUUUUUGUAUAAAAAGAACAUGUUGUGAGAAAUGAAGUAAUUCAGGAUAGGAUGUUAUAUGUUUUUUUUUAUAUUUUGGUUUAAGUUAGAGAUAUUAAAUGAUUCUUUAUUUGAAUUCCAGUGCUUAAAAGAUGCAGUUAGUGAGAUAUUUCCAAAUGCAGAACAUAGGUAAAUGAUUAAUUAUAAUCUUGUAUUGUUAAUAUUUUAAAAUACUUUAUUAAUCACUACUUGUUUUUGUUAAUAGGUUUUGUUGCAACCACUUGUUGAAUAACUUCAAGCUUCGAUUCAGGUCUUUAAUACUAACAACAGAGUUUUGGGCGGUUGCAAUGGCUUAAAAUGAAACCAUGUUUAAUAAAGCUAUUACUACUAUGAGAAAAAUCAACAAUGAUGAUGUAGAAUGGUUGCUAGAUUCUGAUAGGCCUAAAAUUAUGUGGGCAAGGCAUACAAUUGAUCCAAUCUGUAAAAGUGAUCAUGUGACCAACAUUGUGUGUGAAGUGUUUAAUGCAUGGAUUGUAGAUGAUAGAAAAAAGACUAUGUUGUCUAUGAUGGAGUCUAUUGUGUGUAGAUUAAUGGGAACAUUUGAAAGAAGGUUUGCAAAGAGUUGUGGUUUUGAGCACAACAUAACUCCUAACAUUCGGAAGGUUUUAAACACUAACAUGCAAGAUGGGAGGUUCUGUACAAUGACUUAGUUUACUUAGUUUGCCAUGUUUUACUUCUAUGUAUCUACUUAGUGUUUACCAUGGAGUGCUGGUUAUAUAGUUAUGGAACAUUUAAUUUCUAUAUGUGUAUGUUAAUUUUACAUGCUUAGUUAGUGUAUAUAAUGAUGCGGUAAUUAUUAAUAUUUUUUUAUUGUUCGUUUUUAUUUUAUUAUUUCAAGCAAAUGAUGAUGCAAGUAUAUCUGAUAUACCUUUGAGUGCAAGAGAAUCAUAUGGUGCCAACAACAUUUAGGAUAUUUUUUAUGUAUUUUGUUUUUAAAAUUUCAUAUGAGACUACUUUUAGUUUUUUUUUCUCCAGAUUUUAUGGUGUAUUUGGAUUUAUAAUGAAACAUGAACCGUAACUCUUUCAACUUUGUUAUGUUAUUUUAGUUAUUUGCAAUGAAAUUUUAUUAUUGCUAACAACAUUUGGAUUUAGUAUUGUAAGUUUAAAUAAUUAUUAUAAAUUAAUGAGAUUAAAGUUAUAAAAAUUAUGAAAUGAAAUUGAGGUUAAAAUCCUCUAGAAACAUAUAAUAGUUACCUUCCUGCAGGUUUCCAUAUAUAAUUUCGAGUAGUGAAGAUUGAAAAUCUCCACAAUUAAACGAUCUUAAAUAAUGAAGGUUUAAAGCCUUCAUGCUAAACACUACAAAAAUCACCUCAAAUAGUGGAGGUUAAAAAACUCCUCAAAUCGUGGAUGUUAAACUAAUGAAUGAUGAUUCAUUCCUAAAUAAAUACAUUUAAUACAAAUAUUGAUAAUAAAUGAAUAAAUAUAUUGAAAGAAUAAACUAAUAAAUACGAUGUUACUAUUAAAGACAUAUUACUAAUAUGUUAUUAUCUAGAAAACUAAUUAAUAUAUAUUACACAUAAUUUUCAUUAAUUUCUUAAAUAUAGGUAAUGGAUAGAAUAUAAAAAUAGUCAUAAUAAAUACUAAAUAGAUUUUGAUGAAAAAGAAAGGUUUGAGUUAGGUUUAUUUUAUAAAAUAAAUUAUGAAAAAAAUUUUUUUAGGAGGUUGAAUAAGUUAAAUGAUAGAAAGGUUUUUUAAUUAAAAAAAAUAAAUAAGAUACUACAUUGGUUGUUAAUUGAUGUUGCAAUGCAACUUUCAGUCAAUCAUCGGUUAUAUGACAGGUUUGGAUCCACCACUAUAUUUUUGCGGUCAAAAUAAAGAAAACAUUCUUUAAACCCACCUUUAAGGAAUAUGUUGUCUCACAUGAUAGGAUUUUGCUCCUACGUCUCCCUCUCAACAAUAGAGAAUCAAGACUACCUAGUUCUUUAGUAGAAAAUACUUUGUUGGUUGAUUUUAUAUUAUUUCUGAAUAGGAGAAGAUGUUUUAAUUUUAAUAUGGUGUCCAUACUUAAAUGACUAAAUUACAACCAUAAUGUAUGAUAUCGCAUUUCAUAUUAAGGAGGUAAAGCUUAACCAAAAUCAAUAUUUUUUAAUGUUUAAAGGUUUUUUAGAAAGGUGAUACACAAAGGAAGAGAUUAGCUGCAAAAAAAUUAAACGAUCCCAUUAGGAUUCUCUAGAACUUUUAUGUUACUCUCUCUUUUUUGGAAUAUUUUGAUGUGUUUUCCGGUUUUUUCACUUUGUCAUGAAUGCAAUACCUCUAUUUAUUGGAUGGAUUUCACAUAUGCAUAAAAUAAAAGUGAAUCACUUUCAUUAAUGCAUCGAAUCAAUUAAAACAUUUUAUUGGGUGUAAGAUUGUUUCUGAGAUAUCUAGAAAUAUCUCUUAAUAACUUUAUAAAGUCAUAGAAUAUUAUGGUGACACUCAUAUUAAUUCGGCUUUAAAAUUAAAAGUGUCCCAAAUGCUCUAUUUUGGGUAGAAAUUUCAUAACAAGUUCAAAAGGAAAUCACAAAUGUUCUUUUAUAAAAUGGGAUCUUUCCAUUAAUAGAUUAAUAAAUUCAUUAAGUCACUUAAAACCCUUUUUGAUUUUAUUUUAUAAAUAAAAUUAAAAUUGGUGAGAGAAAUUAAUUUGAAAUAAUAUCCUUGUGAAAAAAACUAAAAAUUGUAUCCAAAAAAUCUUGAAAUAGUAUCCCACCAUUAUUGAGUCAAAUAAGUGAUCUUUAAAUACCAUUUUUUAUUGUAAAGGAAAUCAAAAUGUUGGGAGGGAAGUUGACUUAGAUGUUGUAUCUAGUCAAUUUAUUCACAUUAAGUCAUUCAAACCCGUUUUUUAUAUGAGUGUAAAAUAUGAAUUUAUCCUCUUUACUUGUUGCUUACCAUAAAAGCGGGCAAAUUGAAGUUUGAAAGAUAUCAUGUCAGGUAACUAGUAAGGAAAUGAACACUAAUUUUGUCAAGGUUAAAAGAACUUACAUAUUCAAACUUCAGAUGCCUCGUAGUGAGGUUGAAACUAGUCAACGAUGCAGACUGAAAUACAGUAACCGUUAGUUUUAUGUAGUAGUUCGGGAAGCUUCUGGAAUAGAAAUCAUCAAUUUGGUGCGGCAGUUCUAGACUCUGCUGAAAGGGAAACCAUCAAUUUGGUGACAUAGUCUGAGAAUCUUCUGAAAAAUGAAACAAUCGAUUUGGUGAAGGAGUUUGAGAUUAUGUUGAAAGGGAAACCACCGAUUUGAUGAAGUAGUUUGAGAAUCUACUUAAAGGGAAACCAUCGAUUUGGUGAAGCAAUUAGAGAAUCUUCUAAAAGGGAAACCAUUGACUUGGUGAAGUUCAUCGAGAAUCUGCAGAAAUGGAAACCAUCAGUUUGGUUAAGUAGUACGAGAAUCUGCUAAAAGGGAAACAAUCGAUUUUGUGAAGCAUUUUGAGAAUAUUCUGAAAGGGUAACCAUGUAUUUGGUGAAGUAGUUUGAGAAUCUGUUGAAAAUGAACCAUCAAUUUGGUGAAGCAUUUUGAGAAUCUGUUGAAAUUAUAACUAUUGAUUUGGAGAAGCAGAUCGAUAAUCUAUUGAAAGGGAAACCAUCGAUCUAGUGAAGCAUAUCAAGAAUAUGCUAAAAGGGAAAGCAUUGAUUUUGUGAAGCAGAUCGAGAAUCUGGUGAAAGGGAAUCAUCAAUUUAGUGAACUGGUUCGAGAAUCUAGGAUAGAGAAACUAUCGAUUUGCUGAAAAAAAUUGAGAAUAUGGUGAAAGGGAAACCAACAGUUUGAUGAAGUAGUUUGAGAAUCUGCUGAAAAGGAAAUCGCUGAUUCGAAGAGUCAGAUCAGGAAUCUAUUGAAAUAAGGCUUACGGGCAUCUCAACAUCAGAGUGUGAACAUGAUGAUAAACGUACUUGAGAAAGGGAUGGCCCCACAUUGUCUAGGCCAAUUAUAUAUGUAGUUGGGAUGUGAAGAUGCAUGUAUUGAUGUUUGAUUAUUUGUGGAUAUGAAAUGACUUGAAUAUAAAUUUUCUGCUAUAUUUUGUAUGAGAUGAGUAUACAAUAAAGGGAAAGACUCGUACACAAAUAUUCUAAUGUAUCACUCUUGAUUUAUUUUUUCUUGGGAUGGAAUUCAUAAACCUUUGUGGAUUUGACUAAAGCAUCAAUUUAUGAUUGUUUUUAUUAGCAUGAUUGAAUGACAACUUGUCUUUCAUAAAAUUGCUUUAGUUUGCUUGAUGACACAUUUCCAUUAAGGUAAUUCAUACAAUGUGCCCUAGUGCCAUCUUGAAUGACUAAACUCAUAUAUAUUGCUCUAGCGUAGGUUGGCUGAGAGUUUCUUUCAAAUGUGUUUGAAUAAAAAAUUUAUCAUUGUGCCUAUUCUGAACUUUUGACUUCAACUUGGAGGCCAUUAUUCAGAUUCUCCAUAAAGAUGCCCCAUUUUGGGAAAUUAAGGAUAAGGGGUAGUAAGCCUUCACAUUGAGGUGCACAUUUAAUUUUCCUUAACUUUUAUCAAGAAUACCUAGUGUAUGAGCUUGUCGAGAAUUUUCUCAUUUAUUAUCAUCCUCAACCACCUUUUCAUUUUUUGACUUAUAAUCACUCUCCUUUUCCUAGGUUGCUCAUGUGGGUUGUCAACCUAGCACACUUUUUUUGUUUUUUGUUCUUUGAUUUUUACUUUUUACUUUAUUUAACACCGUCGACUUGGUGGCCUCAUUUGAUAGUAAGUAGAAGUCUUGUGUGGGUCAUUGUUGGAGUUGUUCUUCACAGUCAUAACAUAGUAUCAUUCACUUCUUGGUUGAUAGAUUAUCCAUUUUCUAUUAUUGGCAUGACUUAUAAGGCCAUGGGAAGCAACUCCGUACUGCCUCGUUUUUUGGCUUCUUGUAACUUUUCACUAGAAAAAUGGGAACACCCCAAAAAUAUGGCCCAACAUGGAUACAAGGAUUUAUCCUUCUAUUCAAAUUGUCCUGAAAUGAAAAAUUUGGAAGGACUUAGACAAUGAAUCAUCUCAAAAUAUGCCCUAGUUUGAAAGGUUUCCAUGUUUCUUUUACUUUAGAAGUCUUUAUUGUAUGCACAACUCUUUAAGAAUAAAUAUUAAAACAAUGAUCAUGCAAACUUGACAAGUGUUUGGAUUAUGCGUGGUGAUACGAUAAUGAUUAUAAAAUUUAAUUUUUGUUUAAGCUUUCUUAUAUGUAUUGUUCAAUUUGUAUGUGGUUGCGAGUUUUGAUAUGUUUAUGAUGAAUAUAAAACGGAACUUGUGUUUGGGCUUUGAAUUUUGUUGAUGAUGGUGAUGGUGAUGAUGAGAGAAUGGAAUGUUAAUCAUAUGCAUUAAGAUGAGAUUGUUAGAAAUUCAUAAUUUCUAAUUAAGGUGAACAUCAUAUAAUUAAUACAAUUAUAUUGGCUAUUUAUUUUGGUAUUCCAAAACAAGUGAUCUAAUUACUCACAACCUAUAAGACUUCUAAAACUGAUAAUGUAUAUGGCUUAAUGAGUGGAUACUGAAACGGUUGGCCUAUAUGUGAUAAUGUGAACCCUAUAAGUUAACGUAUAAGGAACGAUUAUGAUCUCCAAUGCACCAAAUCACAAAUAGUUUUCACCUCUCCCCAUCAGAGAGAAAAUGAAGGUCCCAAAAAAAAUUAAUGAUUUGGUUGAGGAAGCCCAUCAUACCAAAACUCUAUGAAAAUGUAUAUCAAAAAAGUAGAUUAGAGAACAUGGAUUUGGGUAUGACUUUGUAUCAUAGUUCUAUAUUAUGUGUGAGAAUCAUGAGAUUCAAGGUCCUAGGAUUGGUAUUUCACCAAUCAUUAGGAAAUAUAUGACAAGUGGUAUCAGAUCUUUAGGUUCUGAAUUUGUUAAUCAUAAAAGAUAUUAAAUCCGAAGGUUUUAAUUCCAAGAUCAUAAUUUAUUUUAUAAUGGACCUAUAUUGUUUUCCUUUUCUGUGGUAAUUAUUUUUGAAAUAAUUGGUGCAAUUGUUGUCAAAGUAACCUUUAUGGUGGAAAUUGAUAAAUAAUACAUAGAUGAGUAUGAGAUUAUUUAUGAGAAUUGUGUUUUGUCAAGUAAUAACAUACAUGUGAUGAUAAAUAAGUAACAAUUAUAAAGUUUUUUUCUUGUGAAUAAUAGUCGGUCCAAAGAAAGACUAUUGUUUGACAAAACUAAUUGUUAAUAUUUGAUCAUUACGUUUAGAGUACAACUUACAUAUUAUUUUCUCUGUCCAAAGACUAGAAAUUGAUGUUGUGCUAGGUAUCUUGUGAUGAGUCUAUUAUGUGAACAUGUCUUGUUUUAUAUGUAUUACCUGAUUUGUUUCUUUAAAUGGUUGCAACACUUACGGUUUGUUGUAUUAGUUGGUAGUUGAUUGCAUUAUUAAGGGGUUGCUAUUGUUGAAACACUAUUUCCAUUUGAACAUUGUGUCGUACUAUGUUUAGUCAUGUAUAAAAUGGUAAUAUAUUUUUAAUGGAAAAUUAAAAAGAACCAUCACUGGAAUUUGAAACGCAGAUCUUGGUGAUGGAAAUUAUGCAAUGCUACCAAUAGGCUAUAGUGUAUAUAUUAUAUAUAUGUGGAUAUAAAUAAUUCAUAUUUUGGAUUAAGUGAUGAAUCAAACUCAACUAAAUGGUUUUAAUGAAAUUGUUUGACAUUUUAAGUGAACAUAUUAAAUAAGAAUUCGCCAAAGUGACAUAUUUUCUAUGAAUUGUUCAUAAAUGUCAAAUACUAGUGUGAAUAAGUAUCUAUGCGAGUAUUAAUUGGCUCAAAUGAAGAUUAUUAUUUGGUCGAAUUAUAUACAUACAUAUGAUGGUAAACAUGUGACUAUUUUAAGGUUGAAAAUGGGACUGAUAAAUUAGUCUAGAGAAAGAUUUAUUAUUUUACAUGCAUUAUGAAUAAUGUUUGACCCUUACAAAAAUAUAUCAUUAGUGAUUGAUAUGAAAUAUCAAGCCAAAUGUAUGUUUGCAUUUUAUGUGAAUAGUGAUCGGCCCUAAGGAAUAUUAUUAUUUGGCCCAAAUUACAAACAUACUUGUAGUAUUAAUAUGUGAUAAUUAUAUGCCUUUGCAUGUGAAUAGUAAGUCAAUCCAAAGAAUAGCUUAUUGUUUGAUAUGACUGAUUAACAAUGUUUGAUUACUAUAUUGAGUGUACCACUUAUAAGUUAAUAUUUUUAUCCAAAGACUAAAUAUUAAUGUUGUGUUAGGUAACUCAUGAUGUGCCCCACCAUCAUUUGAAUUUAGGUUUUAAAGUUGAAUGUGAGUUUAAUUGCAAGAAUGGUUGCAAGAAUGAUUGCAAUUUGUUUUGUUCUUUUACUAGUGCUACAAAUAGUUUUGUUCAAAUUGAGAAUAUCUCAUUGUUGAACGGGACACACAUUAAGGUCUAUAAGAAAGCCGUGGAAAUUAUUCUCGGCUAUAUGGAUUUAGAUCUGGUACUUCAAGUGGAGAAAUCCAUUUCGACUCUGUAAAUCCUCGAUGAGGUUAAAAUUGAGAAAUUUGGAUGCUCUUAUUGUAUGUGUCUAAUGAUCAUGAAACACUAUAUUCUAGAAGUGUUUCAUAAUUCUAUUUUUGAGGGUCAGAGUGCAAGGAAGUUCCUUCAAGAAAUAGAACCAUACUUUUGCAAAAAUGAGAAGGCGGAGACUAGUAGCUUUUUUGGGUGAAAUCAUCUCCAUGAAGUAUAAAAGCAUAUGGAACAUAAGGAAGUACAUUAUGGAGAUGCCUAAUCUUGCAUCAAAACUCAAGUCACUUAAGUUAGAGCUGGUUGAUGACUUGCUCGUGCACUUGGUUUUGAUCUCGCUUCCUGCACACUUUGGGAUAUUCAAAGUGAGCUAUAACACUCAAAAGGACAAAUGGUGUCUCAAUGAGUUUAUAUAUCAUUGUGUCCAAGAGAAAGAGAGGUUCUAGAGAGAUAAGACUGAAAGUGCUCAAUUGGCUAUGACCACUCAGAAUAAGACAAGAAUGAACAAUACGGAUGUUGUGAAAGGGUUAUUUGUGUUUUUCGUCAGAGAUUGUGGAUUUGUUCCGCAAUACACUAUGCCAGACAAACCUAAAAUAAAAGGUGUUGUUGGCCGACGAAAAGAAACUCUUAAGGAUAUGGUGAGAAUUAUGCUUAGUCAUUCUUCCUCACUAGAGUCUCUUUGGAGGGAAAAAACCGUUAAUAAGACCAAGCUUAAAACAUUGCACAUUUGGGGUUGUUCAGUUGAGGAAGGCCUUAUAGGCCACAGGAAAGGAAACUCGACUCAAGAACAGUUAGAUGUUAUUUUGUUGGCAAUGUUGAGCGCUCUCGGGGCUAUAAAUUUUACGAUCCUACUUCAAGACAUUUUUUUUUUGGACGGGAAAUGCAAGAUUUCUUGAGGAAGUUGAUUUUGGGAAGGAAGAGAACAUAAGGAAUUUUAUCUUUGAGGAAGAACAUGUCACUAGUAGUGAACAAAUUCUUGUGUCUAUUACCAUUCAAGGAACAACUUCGGUAAUAGAAGAUAAUGUUUAGGAUAUUGUUCCUGACAAUAUUCUAGAACAAGACAACAAUGAGGUUCUCUCUCAAGUACUUAAAGAAAAAAUUCAACAACCUCAAGAAGUAGGGGUGCCAUUAAGCAUAUCCACUAGAGAGAGAGGAUGUGCAAUUCCUGAUGAUUAUAUUGUAUUUCUUCAAGAAUAUGAGGAUGACAUCAGGAUAACAUAAGAUGAUUCAUUGAAAAAAUGUCAAGACAUGAAAAGUUCUAACUCUCAAAAGUGGAUCAAUGUCAUGAAGAAUGAGAUGAAGUCUAUGCAUGAUAAUAACGUUUGGGAUAUUGUCGAAUUAACUGAAGUUGCGAAACCUAUUGAUAGGACAAAUUGCAAGUGGACGGUUAUAUCGUCAAGUAAUAAAAUAUCGAUCCCACGAGGACUAGAAAAUACUUUAAUUAUAACAAUUAAUUUAUAUGUAACUCAAAGCAAAAUUAUAAGUGAAUUUAGAAAAAUUGAACAUUUGACAAGAAUAAUUAUGAAAAUAUUAAAAAGGAUUGAAAUCUAAUUUAGGAAGAGUUCCAAGGAUAAGGGUUUACCCCUUUACACUCNNNNNNNNNNNNNNNNNNNNNNNNNNNNNNNNNNNNNNNNNNNNNNNNNNNNNNNNNNNNNNNNNNNNNNNNNNNNNNNNNNNNNNNNNNNNNNNNNNNNUAAAUUACAUAACAACAUAUAGAUUGAUGAAGGGCAUUGCAUGUAAAACUUUCAAGGUAGAUUUUUUUAUUAAUAAUAGUACAUAGGUAAAACUCUAGUUUUAUUAAUAUAUCGUGGCUCACUAUGAGCUCUUACAUGAUAGUAGAUAGCAGCUUAGUAAAGAGUGAUCUAAAUGGAAAAGAUAAGACCCCUUCUUCCACGCCUUCCCUCCUUCUCCCUUUGCUGUUGCUGCUGAGGUUGAGCAUUUGCAAAGUAAGAUUGUUGUUGGUUCUUAAUUAAUCUCUCAACAUCUUCAACAGAACCAGGGAAUGUAAGCUGCUUCACUUCUUUAUCUAACUGUCUUAUCACAUUGUCUUCAGAACCUUUCAAUUUUCAAUAAUUUNNNCAAUAAUUUCCAAACAUAACAAUAUGAGUUAGUAACGCCAAAACCAAAGUCAUAAAGCAAAUAUUAUAAUUUACAAUUAGGUAUUUGUGCCAAAAGUUUAAUUUGUUGCCACAUUGGCUUCGUCCAAAGAUAUAGUUGGUGAUUUGGCGAUCAAUUUUAUAACUGUGUAUCUACCUUUUAAAUAGCAUGUUUAGAUUAAAUUAAAAUAUAUUUAAUUAUAAACUUUGAAGUUGAAUAAUGUUUAUGGUACCUGCAAGGAAAUUCCUCUGGUUUUCAUCAGCAUUGAUGCCAUAUCCAAGCAAGCGAAGANNNNNNNNNNNNNNNNNNNNNNNNNNNNNNNNNNNNNNNNNNNNNNNNNNNNNNNNNNNNNNNNNNNNNNNNNNNNNNNNNNNNNNNNNNNNNNNNNNNNAAGCGUUGAUGGAAAUUGGAUGACCUGCUGGAAUUACGAAAAUGUCACCUUCUGAUAAUUUAGCAUUGUACCUUCUCACUUCUUCCUGUUCUUGCUCAUCUUGUUGUCGUUCUUGAUCUCUUAUACCCACCAGUUCAUAAUUUCCUUCUCCUUCAUCAACCACGACUACAAAUAUGGCCUUUGAGUUAUAGUGUGGUAACAACAAACCUCCCUAACAUAAAAAAAUCAAAUCAUUAGUAAUAGUAUUGUUGUCUAAGACACAACACCAGUGAAUAAGUUCAAGGAAUUGUGUGUAUUGUUAUUUGGGGUUGGAUGUAAAUAAUGUACCUCGUUAAUUUCUAUGAAGGUGAGAGAGAUAUCCAAAUCCUGAGCUUGAGGGUUUCUGUCUGGGGUGAUCUCGUAGAAGUUGCCAAACUUGUUUGAAUAAAUGGGUUCAUCGCUUCUCAAGUUGAAGGGGCCAGAUUCAGAUGGUUUGCCUUUUCCUGAUGAUGAUUGAGCAUGUUUUCUCAAUUCUUGGAUCUGUUCCUUUGACACUCUCACUAUCACCCCCUCAUCUUGGUGGCUCUGCUCUUGUCCACGACUUUGCUCCUCAUCUUCCUGCCCGUCCUCAUUUCCUAAAAUAAUCCUUUGUAUCUCUUCAUAACGGGUCUAUAUUUGAAAUCCAAACAAACAAAUAUGUGAUCAUUAGUACAUAUACUCAAUAAAUAAUUGUGCAACCAACGCAGAUCAGAUGUCAUACAUUGAAGGUGGCCUCUAAAGUGUUCCUACUGAAGCCGUUGAAGUAAGACUGUUGGUCUUUAGUACUUGAUGGAUAGAAAUCCUAUAAAUAUACAAAUAUAGAGAGAAAGGAGGAAGAAAUUAAAAUUACAUGGUGUUAAAUAUGCAAUGGGUGCAUAGAAAAUUAGAUGAUAUAAACAUAAAAGAUAAUAUGAUUGNNNNNNNNNNNNNNNNNNNNNNNNNNNNNNNNNNNNNNNNNNNNNNNNNNNNNNNNNNNNNNNNNNNNNNNNNNNNNNNNNNNNNNNNNNNNNNNNNNNNCUUGUUCUCUUUCCUGAGGCCUCUCAUGAUUCUUUAUUGCAUUUUUUUCUCCGUAAGCAAUACCGAUUGACACUGCCAUGAGGAAUACUAUUCCUAGUAGCAACACUAACGUUGGAAACUUCACUCUCAUAUUAGCCAUAUUUUAUUAUAUUAGAUUGCACUCGAUGAUGAAAAUGGGGACUAAGAUCACUCAUAUUUAUAGAUCAUUUUCAUAAGAAAUGGUGCCAUGCAUGUUGACGAGUGUUCAUAUUGACAAAUUUGAGGUGUCAUGUGCAUGCCAUUUAUCAACACAGCUCUUUAUGGAUAUACAUGGACGCGGCAAUCAUGCAUAUAUGCUUCUUGCUUCCUCAUACAUGAAUCAUUGUUUUUUUCUUCAAUUUCAUGAACUGGGACUUUAUUUUGGAAACGAUACAUGGUACUCUCUCUCUCAUUUCAUAUUUGUCUUUUCUUGGCUCGCCGUGUUUAUGGUUUGUUCGCUAUAGAAUUAUUACGGUAGAAAAAUAUUAGAAUGAAUAGAGUUUAAAAACAAUAAAAUACAUAUAUCAGUUCAAAUUUAAAAACAAAUAGCAGGGUGAGGGAAAAAUUCAAUAUAAUCAAGUACAUAUGUUUUCGAAAAACGGGAUUUCUUUUAAAAAAUGUGAUAUAUAUAAUCCAACUCUUAACUCUAUGGCCACGUUUAUAUAAUGUUUGGUUAUCAUCUAAAGCCAUGCAAUAAUAAUAAUAAAUAUCUGUUAAUAGAUUUCAAUAAAGCAACAUGAAAGAUAAAAUAAAUGAAAGACAAAAAAACAUAAAUAUAUAUUGCACAUUAAAUGUCAUCUUCAAAAUUAGGGGUACAAAAGUUCGGUUCGAUUUUAUUUUUGGUACAAUUCAAUGAUCAAACAUAACAAUAUGGUUUGGUUCACUUCAAUUAACUAAUAAUAUUUAUGUAAGAACCGAAUCAAAUUGGUAUUGAAUGGUUUGGUUCGGUUAUGUGGUUUUCGUCUUCUAUUUUUUAAAAAAAAUCUCAUCAAUGGAAGUUCAAAAUGUAUUUCAUGAUUCAUUUGUUGUCCAUAGAUAGAAAAACAUUACUACAAUUAUUAUUAUUCUUAUGAAAUAUAAAUCAUAUAUAUAUAGAUAAGUAAACAAAUUGAAACUAAUAACAUAUAUAAAAAAUAUGUAAUUUAGGAAGAAGAAAAUACAUGACGACAUAUAUAAUAUUACAAUUCACAACCAAUAACAUAUAUAAGAGUUCAAUUCACAAUUAAUAACAUAUAUAACAACUUAGUAACAUAUAUAGCCAUACAAUUCACAAUUAACAACAUAUAUAAGUAGGUUCCAAAUAAUCAAGACACUAGGAAAGUCACAAACAUAUAUAUAUAUAUAUAUAUAACAAUUUAGUUGUGUAGUAACAUAUAACAAUUUACUAACAUAUAUAACACUACAAUUCACACAGAAUUGAUAAUUUAAGCCCCAAAGUUGGUUAAAGAAUUCAAACAUUACAACGAUAUUCUCUAUUAUUAAUUUCUUUAAUAUGUGGUUUGAUUGAGUUCGAAUUGUUCCAAAAUUUUCUAAAUUAUGAACUGAACUUAAAUUGUUCUUUAACAAAAAAGCCAAAUUGAAUAAGGAAACCACAGUGUUUUGUAAGUUGGUUCGGUUCGGACACAUUAAUUUCACAGUUUAACCCUAUUCCAAAUUAAUUUAUUGUCAAAUUAUACAAUCCUUAUAACUUGGAAGGGAAAAGUUAAUCACAUAGAAAAGUAAGGCUGAAGACCUCUUUGAGGUUAUUAAAUCAUAGUGUAUAUGUAGAACGGAAUUUGGGAAAAGAAGAAAAACGAAAUCAUAAUAAAGGAUUUUCAAAAUGGAAAGUGUGGGCAUGAUAAUUUCGCAAGAUAAUAUUAUUUUGAAUACUAUUUUGUAACAAUUUUUAAUUAUACUUUGAAUUUUUUAAUAGAUUUACAUUUUUUUGCCUAUAUAAUUAAAAAUAAAUUGUUGAAUAAAUAACGUACAAUACUAGUGUACGAAUAAUGAUAUUUGUUGAGCUGUUAAGGUUAUACCAAUACCUUACAUAUAAGAUUCAGUUAUAUAUGAUUGUCAAUCACCUGGUUAUAAAGAUUUGAUUAAACAAGAUUUGGUCAUAUAUGAUCAUCGAUUACCUGAAAUUAUAUCUUAACUGUGUGAAAGACCAAAAUUGAAAGAACUAUUUCUAAAUAUUUGUAUGAUACAAAUCAGAUAAAAUAGCUAAUCUAUAUAAUGAUAAACAUACUUAAGUGGGAUAAAGAGAGGAGUGAGCUUUACACUAACAUCUUAAAGGUACAUAGAAUUUUAAUUUAGUGACCAGGUAUUAAAUUAUAUUUGUGAUGAUAAGUUAUAGAUACUAAUUUUUUAAUACAUUUACUUCAAACUUAUUAAAACUUGAGAUGUAUGCUUACAUUUAGAGAUGUAUAGUUAUUAAUGGUAAUUGUCAUCAAAUCGGUCAAAGUACUAUAGUAUACUGGUAUAAGGGUUCAACCGGUGGUUCGGUAAUUAAUCGUAUGUCGGUUAAACCGGACAUACAUGCUUAUCUAUAUAACCUUUAAUAAAAAAAUAUUAACUAGAUAGAUACUCAAUUUAAAAUUCAUGUUCUUAGUCUACUAAAAUUACCCAUAGAUAAACAAUUUUAACAAAUCCAAAGUUUGGCCCAUCUUCCAUUGAUGCAAAUAGAAGCCUAUAAGGGGCUAAACUAGCAAAUCAACUAAUUGAACAAAUUGAAGAACCAAGUAAGGAAAAAGUACUUUACAACAACAAUUAAAAAUCCUAACAUGUAAGGUAAGAAGAAAACGAGAGAUGAUAUAAGGUGAGAGAUGAAAUAAACACACACCUUAGUGGGCAAUUGCAUCAACUCUACAAGGAAUUGGAUGGAACGAAGAUGAUACUUCGGUGGAAGGGACUAGACGAAGAUUAUACAUCGGGGAAGCCUGGAACUGUAGAAGAAGUGAAGAAGGGUUGAAGAAGUGUGAACAGUGGAAGGAUAAGAAUCGAAUAAGGGUAGAAGAAUUGCGAACCGUGUAGCCUAGAACUCUUUUGAAAACCAUGCUACCCUAAAACAACAUCGUUUAUGGGUGUUUUUUUUAGAAAAAAGUAUAUGUGUAAACCGGUUAAUUUAGUCAAAUUUUGACCGGUUCACCAGUUUUGACCAAAUUUUGCAUAAUAGGUUUUCAUGGUCAUUUCAACACCUUCUUGAUAGUGUUGAUCUCAUACUUAAAACAACAUUUAAAAUCAACAUUUCUUAAGUUACACUUACCACUUUAAAGUAAGCUUACCUUAUCAAUGUUCACCCUAUAACAAAUCAACCAUCCUUUACCUCAUACCACUUUAAGUUUAUAAAGUCAAGACUUUUAUAAGUCAUCUUUUAUUCCAAAUCAUUACUUGAACUUGGAAGUCAAAGAAUAUCAUUUACUAACCAACUUUUAAACUCAUAAUAUUCUAAAACAACACUUUUUCACAAAACUCAUCCAUAAACAUUUUGGAUUUUAAAGUUAGAAACUAAACUUUUCCUAAACACAUAUAGACCAUGAUUUAGACCUAAUGCUAAGGAAAUUUUUGAUUCUUCAACUUAUCAUUAAACACUUUAAAGAUUCCUUUGAUAACAAAAUCAUCCCCUUUGAAACAAAAUCAAACUUCAACAUUAAAAAUAUACUAUUCUAAACUUGUCCAAGGCUAUGGUUUUUUAAGCCAAAAACAAGUGGAAAAGUCCAAACUUUGCAUGGUUAGGAAAACUCCUUAAAGCUUCCUUUGAUAUACAACCAUCACCUUUAACCAUGUUCAAAUACCAACAAACAUAUAAACUUUCUAAAUAUUAAAAACAGCCCCAUGAACACAAAAAGUUCAUGGUUUCAAAAUAACUUUCUAAGUUCAAGAAAAUAUCUAUUUGGAGUUUUAAACAUAAACAUAAAAAGAGUUAGGAAGAUUAUUAGAAUAUUUCAACGGUUGAAAAUAUUCAUAACAUACAUAUAAAUAUCAUACUAAAAUUUCAUAAAUAUCUAAUGGUUAGAUCAUAAGAGAUGAAGAAAUCAAAAAGAAAAACCAUGAAGAACUAACUUGAGAGUUCUUAGAGAAUGCAAAGUGAAGAAAGAGUUUGAAAUGCCAAGGUAUUCUCUUAGCUAGGGUUUCGAUCAUUAAAGAGAGAAAUCAUAUUUGGGGGGAAAAAGUCAAUGGUUUUUCAAAAAGUAGUUUGUGUAAGAGAUAUGUGAGUGAUUUUAGGAUUUUGUGUAAGAGAAUAUGUACUUUUGCUUGUUUAACAAACAAGACUCUUACAUGAAAGUGGUGUGAAUUUUCGAUGAAACAUUCUCGAUUAAACAUGCUCGAGUAUUAUCGGCUAAUACUCAGCCGGAUAUUAAAAUUUCUCGAUUUCGGUUUACGGUUAGAACUUCGAAACACAUAAUUUGGAGUGAAAAAUAUUCAGAAAUGUGUUCUUGACGAAAUUCAUGUCUAUCUUGACUUGAAAUAAUAUUUCGAAGCAAAGGGCACAAUUGAAAUUCAGUUCCGAGUUACGAAACUCAAAAACACGUUAUUGAGCCGAAUAUGGGUGAAUUUGAGCCCGACAGAAGCUCAAAAACCUUUCGUCGUAGAAAAAUACGAAAAUAUACCACAAAAUAGAAAAUCAUAAAAAAGGACUAAUACUCAAUUAUGGUUUAACAAAAAUGCAUACCGAUUAAUUUCUAAAACUAAUCAUUGAUAAAAUAAAUAAUUAAUAAAACAUACACACAAAAUUCACGGUGUUACAAGGGUUGCAAUUUGUUCACCAAGUAAUAAUCAUUAAAGAUAUAAUUUUUUAUUUGUGGAUGAUGGUUGUGAAAAUCUUGGUUAUUUUUUAGAAGAAUUUUUAUUGCCUAAAAGUUGGGGUGUAAUCAUUUUGAGGCUGAAAUAGACAAAUGGAAAGUCAUAUUACUAUAUGAGAUGAGCAAGUUUUAUUUUCCAUGUUUUGUUUAAAUUAUCAUAUGAAAGAUUAUAAAAAAUGUUGAUACCUUUUGUACAUUUUAUAUUGACAAUGCUUUUUUAUUUGGGCUAUUCUAGAUACAAGGUGUUGGUCUAAUAUUGUAAAGCCCCAUUAGAUCCUCAAGAUGACCAAAUAGUUAAUGGUUCAAUUUUAGUAUGCGAUAUUUAUUGGUAGGGCAGUCAUGCAUCCCAAAAGAGAUUAGUUCAUUACCCAAAGGUGAAGGGAUACCGUUUUUAGUAUCCAAAAAAAUAAACAUUGUCUUCAGAACAUCUUACUCUGAUUUAUAAAUGUAUAAUAUAUAAUUACCUUUUCACUUCUUCCAUAUCAUAAAUAUUUCAUAAAAUAAUUCAUAUCAGCAUAAUUAUUUCUUAAAUUCUUUUGCUUAAUAUUUUUUACCAUUGUGAUCUAGUGUUAAUCUUUUAUAAUUUUUCAAAUUUAUUUAAUAAAUGCAUAAACACAUUUGCUCAAUAUAUAUGAUAAUGAAUUAAAAAAUAAAAUAAAAUUAAAUAAGACCUUUAGAUGAUAAUAUGGGAUAUUAACUAUGAUACUUCUAAACAAGAAACUAAAAAAAAUCUCAAUGGCUUAUGACCUGAGUUGUUGUCUUAUAUUCAUUUUGAGAAUUAAAAUAAUUUAGUUGAGAAGUGUGUGAAACUCUUAUUUUUUUUAAGUGAGAAGUAAAUGCAAUAUCAAUGAAGGAGUGCAAUAAAAUAAAAGAGAAGAAGAUAAAAUAAUUUAUUAAUAGGGUUCUGAUCAAUUUUGUAUACGUACUUGGAAGCGUAGAGUAGUUAUCAAUAUAUAUUUUUAGCGAAUAAGAAUUACAAGUUCUAACAAACUCAUGGGCAAAAGACUCAUAUGGUGUUUCUAAUUUGUGCUAGUUAUAAUAAGGAUCUUGAGCCUAAUAUUUAACAUUUUUUCUCUCAUCCAUCCAAUACUAGCCAAUGUUUUACUUAUUACAAUAAUAUAUUUCAAGCAUCCCCAACAAUAUCAACCUUGAUUGAAAUAGACUAAUAAUUUGGUCUUUAGGAAAUUUAUAUAGCAAUCUUCACCUUAGCGAAUAUUUUAUUCCUUAAUAAAUAUACGCAACAAUCACCACCUUAGUGAAUAUCCAACUCCAUAUUACCCAAUGCCUAACUCUUUUUAUGAGCUUCUCCAUUGGACUUCUUCCACAUGUGAGAAUCCUCAUCUUCAGCAUUAGUUGAGUAUUCUUUAUGAUGUUAUCAAGAUUUAAGUUUUCCUAACUCAAAUUUUGAUGGACAACCAAUUUCACGACUUACGAAUACGGGGAAAAUAGAUUCCUUUUUUCCAAAAUGAUUUAUAAAAUAUUAAUUACUAAAGAAAAAUAGUAUAUAUUUUUUUUAUCUAAGAAGAGCUUAUUUGCUUUAAUGCAUCCUCAUGUUGUAAUAUGAAAAUCAAGAUUAUAUAGUUCAUUACUAAAAAUUGAUCAAUGGAUUUGUAUAAUUUUUUUAAAGAACUAAUUUAAAAUUAAAGGAGAUGAAUAGCAUAAUAGAUUAUCUUAGUUGUGAACCGACAUCUCAAUUUGAGAGAUAACAUAGAUAAUAUUGAUGAUCGUAACUAUUUCUCUACAUAAAUUAGAAAUUAAGAUACCACAUGAAUACCAAACUCAUUAUUAGAUUCCCAAAAUGGUUUAUUGAGUUUUUUUAAAUUUUUUUAAAUAAAUUUUUUUAAUUAAAAAGAGAAGUAACAACAUAAGAGACUACAUUGCUUGGUAAUUGAUGUUGCAUCCCAAUUUUCGGUCAAUAACGGUUAUAUGACAGGUUUGGAGCUACCACUAUGUUUUCACGGUCAAAAUAAAAAAACUUUCUUUAAACCCACCUUUAAGGAUUAUAUUGGUCUUUGAAUUCGAAAUAUGGACUCGAGACUCAGUUACGGAAUUAGAAGAUUAUUGCAUCGACUAAUUUUAUACCCAAAUUUGUUUGAUUAUUUUAUUUAUUAAAAGGGAAACUAUUUUUAUUUUUUUGUUUUGUCUCAAAUGAUAGGAUUUUGCUCCUACAUCUCCCUCUGAGCAAUAAAGAAUCAAGACUUCUUAGUUCUUUAGUAGAAAAAAGUUUGUUGGUUGAAUUUAUAUUAUUUCUAAAUAGGAGAAGAUGUUUUAAUUUUAAUAUGGUGUCCAUACUUAAAUGAGUGAAUUAUAACCAUAAUGUAUGAUAUCACAUUUCAUAUUAAGCAGGUGAAGCUUAAUCAAAAUCACAAUUUUUUAAUGUUUAAAGGUUUUUAGAAAGGUGAUACACAAAGGAAGAGAUUAGCUACAAAAAAAUUAAACGAUCCCAUUAGGAUUCUCUAGUGUUUCUCUUUAGAACUUUUAUGUUACUCUCUCUUUUUUGGUAUUUUUGACGUGUUUUCCGGUUUUUUCACGUUAUCAUGUACACAAUACGAUGGAUUUGACACAAGCAGAAAACAAAAGGGAAUCGCUUUCAUUAAUGCAUCCAAUCGAUUAAAACAUUUUAUUUUUCUAGAAUCAAAUCUAUAAUUCAUUGACUAAUUUUACUUAAAAUUUAAUAUUGGCUGUAAGAAUGUUUCUGGGUUAUCUAGAAAUUUUUCUUAAUAAUUUUAUAAACUCAUAGAAUAUUAUCGUGACACUCAUAUUAAUUCGACUUUAAAAUUAACAGUCUAAAAUGUUCUAUUUUGGGUAGAAAUUUCAUAGCAACUUCAAAAGGAAAUCACACAUGUUCUUUUAUAAAAUGGGGUCUCUCCAUUAAUAGGUUAAUAAAUUCAUUAAGUCACUUAAAACCCUUUUUUAUUUUAAAAAUAAAAUUAAAAUUGUAGGGAGAAAUUAAAUUGAAAUAACAUCCUUGUACCAAAAAAAUUAAAAAUUGUAUCCAAAAAAACUUGAAAUAGUAUCCUACCAUUAUUGAGUCAAAUAAGUGAUCUUUAAAUACCAUUAUUUUAUUGUAAAUGAAAUCAAAAGUUGGGAGGGAAAUUGACUUAGAUGUUGUAUCUAAUCAAUAUAUGCACAUUAAGUCAUUUAAACUCUUUUUUUUAUAUGAGUGAAAAAUAUGAAUUUAUUUUCUUCGUCAAAUUAUUUUUUCAAAAAUAACAUAUUUUAUUUACUAUUAUUAUUUUUAGGAAUCAAAUAUAAUUAAAAUCAUAUAUCACAUUGAUUUGUUUUUAUUAUGUAUUUUCGCUUGUGAUCAUAUUAUUAAAAUCAUUUUAAAAAAAAAACAUUUUUGUUAUCAUAUAUACCUCUUUUUACUUGUUCCUUACCACAAUAGUGAGCAAAUUGAAGUUUGAAGGAUAUCAUGUCAGGUAACUAGUAAGGAAAUGAACACUAAUUUUGUCAAGGUUGAAAGAACUUACAUAUUCAAACUUUAGAUGCCUCAUAGUGAGGUUGAAACUAGUCAACGAUGCAGGCUGAAAUACGGUAACCAUUAGUUUUAUGUAGUAGUUAGAGAAUCUUCUACAAUGGAAACCAUCAAUUUGUUGUGGCAGUUCUAGAAUCUGCUAAAAGGGAAACCAUCAAUUUGGUGACAUAGUCUGAGAAUCUUCUGAAAAAUGAAACAAUCGAUUUGGUGAAGGAGUUCAAGACUAUGCUGAAAGGGAAAUCAACAAUUUGAUAAAGUAAUUUGAGAAUCUACUUAAAGGGAAACCAUCAAUUUGGUGAAGCAAUUAGAGAAUCUUCUAAAAGGGAAACCAUUGAUUAGGUAAAGUACAUCGAGAAUCUGCUGAAAUGGAAACCAUCAGUUUGGUUAAGUAGUACAAGAAUAUGCUAAAAGGGAAACAAUCGAUUUCGUGAAGCAUUUGGUGAAUAUUCUGAAAGGGUAAAAAUCUGUUUAGUGAAGAAGUUUGAGAAUCUGUUGAAAAUAAAACAUCAAUUUGGUGAAGCAUUUUGAUAAUCUAUUGAAAUUAUAACCAUUGAUGUGGUGAAGCAGAUCGAUAAUCUACUGAAAGGGAAACCAUCGAUCUAGUGAAGCAUAUCGAGAAUCUGCUAAAAGGGAAACCAUCGGUCUAGUGGUUGAAAGUUUUUUUAAAGUGUUUGAACCCUAAAUUUAUCAUUGUGCUUAUGUUGAACUUUCGACUUCAAUUUGGAGGCCAUUAUUCAGAUUCUCCAUAAAGCUGCCCCAUUUUGGGAAAUAAAGGAUAAGGGGUAGUAAGCCUUCACAUUGAGGUGCUCAUUUAAUUUUCCUUAACCUAGUGUAUGUGCUUGUCGAGAAUUUUCUUAUUUUAUUAUCAUCCUCAAUCACAUUUUCAUAUUUUUGACUUAUAAUCACUUUCCUUUUCCUACAUUGCUCAUAUGGGUUGUCAACCUAGCACACGUUUUUUGUUUUUUGUUCUUUGAUUUUUAAUUUUUACUUAUUUUUAACACCGUCGACUUGGUGGACUCGUUUGAUAGUAAGUAGAAGUCUUAUGUGGGUAAUUUUUGGAGUUCUUCUUGACAGUCAUAACAUAAUAUCAUUCCCUGCUUGGUUAAGAGAUUAUCCUACUUAGUCUUCUUGUAACUUUUCACUAGAAAAAUGGUAACAACCAAAAACAAUGGCCCAAUAUGGAUACAAGGAUUUAUCCUUCUAUUCAAAUCGUCCUAAAAUGCUAAAUUUGGAAGGACUUAGACAAUGAAUCAUCUUAAAAUAUGCCCUAGUUUGAAAGGUUUCCAUGUUUCUUUUACUAUAGAGGUGUUUAUUGUAUGUACAACUCUUUAAGAAGAAAUAUUAAAACAAUGAUCAUGCAAAUUUGACAAGUGUUUAGAUUAGGAGUGGUGAUAUUAUAAAGAUUACAAAAUUUAAUUUGUGUUUAAGUGAUAAGUGGCAAACAUACCUAAAUUUCAUACACUUUUAUGGCACUUAUCUUAAGCAUAAUUAAGAAAAACCAACUUAAAACAAUACUUUUUGUAUAAAAUAUAACAAUCUUGUAUAUUUGUUUUUGUAUUUAUUUUUUAUGUAUUUUGUAGGAUUUAGAAAGAAGAAGAAAAGGAAAAAAGAUUCAUGGUCAAAGAGAAAAAUAAGUCAAAAUCAAGGUGCUCAAGGAGGCAGUUGAGCGUGGACCAAGCCACGCUAAGCUGACCUGGACACCAGCCUGACCUAGACCAAGCUGCUCAAGCAAGCAGCUGAGCGGACCUUCUUGGCCGCUCAGCCUAGCACCAGACUAAUCCUGACACGGUUAUAACUCAAGCUUGGCACAGUCAGACACGAGCCUGGCAUAAGCCCAAGUUGCUCAACAAGCAGCUCAGCGGUGCAACCAAGCAGCUCAGCGGUGAACCAGACUCCUUCCUAAUUCAACAAGCACCAGGCCACGUCCCAAUAAGCACAGUCAAAGCUGCUAAACAAGUAGCUUAGAAGAUUUAAGGAAUAUGUUGGUCUUUGAAUUUGAAUCUGGACUCGAGAGUCGGUUAUGAAAUUAGAAAAAUUAUUGCAUCGACUAAUUUUAUACCAAAAUUUGUUUGAUUAUUUUAUUUAUUGAAAGGGAAAAUAUUUUUAUUUUUUUGUUGUGUCUCACAUGAUAGGAUUUUGCUCCUACGUCUCCCUCUAAGCAAUAGAGAAUCAAGACUACCUAGUUCUUUAAUAGAAAAUAGUUUGUUGGUUGAAUUUAUAUUAUUUCUGAAUAGGAGAAGAUGUUUUAAUUUUAAGAUGGUGUCCAUACUUAAAUGAGUGAAUUUCAACCAUAAUGUAUGAUAUGGCAUAUCAUAUUAAGGAGGUAAAGCUUAAUCAAAAUCCCAUUCUUUUUAAUGUUUAAAGCUUUUUUAGAAAGGUGAUACACAAAAUAAGAGAUUAGCUGCAAAAAAGUUAAACAAUCCCAUUAGGAUUCUCUAGUGUUUCUCUCUAGAACUUGUAUGUUACUCUCUCUUUUUUGGUAUGUUUUGACGUGUUUUCCGGUUUUUCACAUUGUCAAGUACACAAUACCUCUAUUUAUUGGAUGGAUUUGACACAAGUGGAAAACAAAGGGGAAUCACUUUCAUUAAUGCAUUCAGUCAUGCAUUCAGUCAAUUAAAAUAUUUUAUUUUUCUAGAAUCAAAUCUAUAAUUGAUUGACUAAUUUUAUUUAAAAUUUAAUAUUGGGUGUAAGAUUGUUUCUAGGAUAUCUAGAAAUAUUUCUUAAUAAUUUUAUAAACUCAAAGAAUAUUAUUGUGACACUCAUAUUAAUUCGACUUUAAAAUUAAAAGUGUCCAAAAUGUUCUAUUUUGGGUAGAAAUUUCAUAGCAACUUCAAAAGGAAACCACACAUGUUCUUUUAUAAAAUGGGAUCUCUCCAUUAAUAGGUUAAUAAAUUCAUUAAGUCACUUAAAACCCUUUUUUUAUUUUAAAAAGAAAAUUAAAAUUGGUGGGAGAAAUUAAUUUGAAAUAAUAUCCUUGUACCAAAAAAAUUAAAAAUUGUAUCCAAAAAAUCUUGAAUGAGUAUCCUACCAUUGUUGAGUAAAAUAAGUGAUAUUUAAAUACCAUUUUUUUAUUGUAAAGGAAAUCAAAAGUUGGGAGGGAAGUUGACUUAGAUGUUGUAUCUUGUCAAUAUAUGAACAUUAAGUCAUUUAAACCCUUUUUUUUAUAUGAGUGCAAAAUAUGAAUUUAUUUUCUUCAUCAAAUUGUUUUUUCAAAAAUAACAUAUUUUAUUUACUAUUAUUAUUUUUUGGAAUUAAAUAUAAUUAAAAUCAUAUAUCACAUUGAUUUGUUUUUAUUAUGUAUUUUUCACUUUUUAUCAUAUUAUUAAAAUCAUUUUUAAAAAAAAAACAUUUUUGUUGGGAAUUUUGGAUCGGACAAAAUGGAUUGUUCACAUAUACCCCUUUUUACUUGUUGCUUACCACAAUAUCGAGCAAAUUUUAGUUUGAAAGAUAUAAUGUCAGGUAACUAGUAAGGAAAUAAACACUAAUUUUGUCAAGGUUAAAAGAACUUACAUAUUCAAACUUUAGAUGCCUCGUAGUGAGGUUGAAACUAGUCAACAAUGCAGGCUGAAAUACGCUAACCCUUGGUUUUAUGUAGUAGUUCGGGAAUCUUAUGGAAAGGAAACCAUCAAUUUGUUGCGGCAGUUCUAGAAUCUUCUGAAAGGGAAACCAUCAAUUUGGUGACAUAGUCCGAGAAUCUUCUGAAAAUGAAACAAUCGAUUUGGUGAAGGAGUUCGAGACAAUGCUAAAAAGGGAACCACCGAUUUGGUGAAGUAGUUUGAGAAUCUGUUGAAAAUGAACCAUCAAUUUGGUGAAGUAUUUUGAGAAUCUGUUCAAAUUAUAACCAUUGAUUUGGUGAAGCAGAUCGAUAAUCUACUGAAAGGGAAACCAUCGAUCUGGUGAAGCAUAUCGAGAUUUUGCUAAAAGGGAAACCAUUGAUUUUGUGAAGUAGAUCGUGAAUCUGGUGAAAGGGAAACCAUCGAUUUGGUGAAGCAGAUCGAGAAUCUGGUGAAAGGGAAACCAUUGAUUUGGUGAAUUAGUUAUAGAAUCUAUAGAAACGGACACCAUCGAUUUGGUCAAGAUGUUCGAGAAUUAGUUGAAAGGGAAACCAUUGAUUUGGUGAAGUAAAUUGAGAAUUUUCUGAAUGGGAAACCAUCGAUUUGAUGACAUAGUUCAAAAACAUGUUGAAAGGGAAACCACUAAUUUGGAAAAGCAUUUCGAGAAUCUGCUGAAAGGGAAACCAUUUAUAAGGUAAAACAGUUCGAGAAUGACUAGAAAAGGAAAUCAUCAAUUUAGUGAAGCGGUUCAAAAAUCUAGCAAUAGAGAGAGUAUCGAUUUGGUGAAACAAAUUGAGAAUAUGGUGAAAGGGAAACCAGUGGUUUGAUGAAGUAGUUCGAGAAUCUGCUGAAAAGGAAAUCGUUGAUUUGAUGAAUCAGAUCGGGAAUCUAUUGAAAUGUGGCUUACGGACGUCUCAACAUAUGAGUGAGAAUCUGUUGAAAAUGAACCAUCAAUUUGGUGAAGUAUUUUGAUAAUCUAUUGAAAUUAUAACCAUUGAUGUGGUGAAGCAGAUCGAUAAUCUACUGAAAGGGAAACCAUCGAUCUAGUGAAGCAUAUCGAGAAUCUGCUAAAAGGGAAACCAUCGGUCUAGUGGUUGAAAGUUUUUUUAAAGUGUUUGAACCCUAAAUUUAUCAUUGUGCUUAUGUUGAACUUUCGACUUCAACUUGGAGGCCAUUAUUCAGAUUCUCCAUAAAGCUGCCCCAUUUUGAGAAAUUAAGGAUAAGGGUUACACCUUCACAUUGAGGUGCUCAUUUAAUUUUCCUUAACUUUUGUCACGAAUACCUAGUGUAUGUUCUUGUCGAGAAUUUUAUCAUUUUAUUGUCAUCCUCAAUCACAUUUUCAUAUUUUUGACUUAUAAUCACUCUCCUUUUCCUAUGUUGCUCAUAUGGGUUGUCAACCGAGCACACUUUUUCUGUUUUUGUUCUUUGAUUUUUACUUAUUUACUUUUUACUUAUUUUUAACACUAUCGAAUGGGUGGUCUCAUUUGAUAGUAAGUAGAAGUCUUAUGUAGGUCAUUGUUGGAGUUGUUCUUGACAGUCAUAACAUAAUAUCAUUCUCUGCUUGGUUGAGAGAUUAUCCUGCUUGGGCUUCUUGUAACGUUUCACUAGAAAAAUGGGAACAACUCAAGAAAAUCGCCCAACAUGGAUACAAGGAUUUAUCCUUCUAUUUAAAUUUUCCUAGAAUGCUAAAUUUGGAAGGACUUAGACAAUGAAUCAUCUCAAAAUAUUCCCUAGUUUCAAAGGUUUCCAUGUUUCUUUUACUUUAGAGGUUUUUAUUGUAGGCACAACUCUUUAAGAAGAACCAUUAAAACAAUGAUCAUGCAAAUUUGACAAGUGUUUGGAUUAUGAGUGGUGAUAUGAUAAUGAUUAUAAAAUUUAAUGUGUUUAAGCUUUUGUAUAUGUGUUGUUUAAUUUGUGUUUAAGCUUUUGUAUAUGUGUUGUUUAAUUUGUGUUUGGUUGCGAGUGUUGAUAUGUUUAUGAUGAAUAGAAAAUUGAACUUAUGUUUGGGCUUUGAGUUUUGUUGGUGAUGGUGAUGGUGAUUAUGAGAGAAUGGAAUGUUAAUCAUAUGCAUUAAGAUGAGAUUGUUAGAAAUUAAUAAUUUCUAAUUAAGGUGGGCUACAUAUAUUUAAUACAACUAUAUUGGCUAUUUAUUUUGGGAUUACAAAACAAGUGAUCUAAUUACUCACAACCUAUAAGACUUCUGAAACUGAUAACGGAUAUGAGCUUAAUGAGUGGAUACCCAAACGGUUGGCCUAUAUGGGAUAAUGAGAAUCCUAUAAGUUAACGCAUAAGGAAAGGUUAUGAUCCUCAUUACACCAAAUCACAAAUAGUUUUCACCUCUUCCCAUCAGAGAGAAAAUGAUAGUUCCAAAAGGAAUUGAGGAUUUGGUUGAGGAAGGACAUCAUACCAUUACUCUAUGAAACGGUAUAUCAAAAAAGUAGAUCAGAGAACAUGAAUUCGAGUAUGAUCAUGACUUUGUAUCGUAGUUGUAUAUUAUGUGUGAGAAUCAUGAGAUUCAAGAUCAUAGGAUUGAUAUUUCACCAAUCAUCAGGUAAUAUCUAACAAGUGGUAUCAAAUCUUUAGGUUCUGAAUUUUAUGGUUCUCCAUUAAAGAUAUUUUUUCCCCAAUUUUUUAUAAACCCUAAUUUUUUAAAUUUGGGGAUUUUUAUGCUUCUGCUAUUGGUUAUGAGAAAUGUGUAUUUAUGAAUAAUGAGGAUAACUUUUAUCUGCUUCUGCUUAUUUGAAAUAUGGGUAGUUUGUAUUAUGAAUCCUUGCAACAUGUGUUGAAGUAUAUAUUUAGAUUUGUACAUGAAUAUUGCAUUAACUUUUAUUACUCUGUUAUGCAAUAUGUAUAUUGUAUGUGCACUAAUACCUUACUGUUGAAAAUUGACUUUUGUCACUUUAUAAUUUUGCAAUUGGCUGAAGUAUAUCUAUAAGGAAUAUAUGGUUUAAGUUGUGUUUUUCAUUUAUACAUAUACAAUAUUGAAUUCAUGGACUUGUACAUAUAUUGUGAAUUAAAAUAUACAAAUAUAAAUAUGUAAGUGCUUCCAGCUUGAGGUUGUUGUGAUGUUUGGAAUUACUGAUGAAAGGUAAUAUAUAUUUACUAUGUGUAUGUGAAACAGUAUAUAUAUUUUUACAUAUAUAUUUUAAGAUAUGCAUGAUUAUAUUUGAUUUGGAAUUUUUUAUAAUGAUUUGCAUAUAUUUUUUUAGGCUUUUCACUCUAGAUCUACUUUGUAUUUUUAUAAGAUUACAUCCAUUUUCAUGUGUUGAUAUAUAUGUAAUCUAUCUUUUUUUAUUUGGAAUUAUAUUAUUGGAUUAGAUCUGUUAAUCAUAAAAGAUAUCAAAUAUGAAUGUUUUAAUUCCAAGAUCAUAAUUUUUUUAUAGUUGACCUAUAUUGUUUUCCUUUUGUCUGGUAAUUAUUUUUCAAUUAAUUGGUGCAAUAUGUUGUCAAAGUAACCUUUAUUGUGGAAAUUGAUAAAUAAUACAUAGAUGAGUUUGAGGUUAUUUAUGAGAAUUGUGUUUGGUCCAAAGGAAGACACAAUUUGACCAAGUAAUAACAUAUAUAUGAUAAUAAAUAAGUAACAAUUAUAAAUUUUUUUCUUGUGAGUAAUAGUCAGUCCAAAGAAAGGCUAUUGUUUGACAGAACUAAUUGUUAAUAUUUGAUCAUUAAGUUGAGAGUACCACUUACAAAUUAAUUUCUCUAUCCAAAGACUAGAAAUUGAUGUUGUUCUAGGUAUCUUGUGAUGAGCCUAUUAUGUGAACAUGUCUUGUUUUAUAUAUAUUACCUUACUUGUUUGUUUAAAUGGUUGCAACACUUAUAGUUUGUUGCAUUAGUUGGUGGUUGAUUGUAUUAUUAAGGGCUUUCUAUUGUUGAAAUAUUGUUUCCAUUUGGACACAGUGUCGUACCAUGUUUAGUCAUGUAUAAAAUGGUAAUAUAUUUUUAAUGGAAAAUUCAAAAGAACCAUCACUAGAAUUCGAAACGCAGAUCCUUGUGAUCGAAAUGAUGCAAUGCUACCAAUAGACUAUAGUGUAUAUAUGUAUUUAUAUGUGGAUAUAAUUAAUUCAUAUUUUGGAUUAAGUGUUGAAUCAAACUCAACUAAAUGGUUCUUUAUUUUAAAGAAAUGACAUUGUUUGACAUUUUAAGUGAACCUAUUAAAUAAGAAGUCGCCAAAGUGACAUCUUUUCUGUGAAUUGUUCAUAAUAAAUGUCAAAGGCUAGUACGUACUAGUAUCUAUGCGAGUAUUAAUUGACCUAAAGGAAUAUUAUUAUUUGGCCAGAUUAUAUACACACAUGUGACGGUAAACAUGUGAUUAUUAUCAGGUUGCAAAUGUGAAUGAUAAAUUAGUCUAAAGAAUGGUUUAUUAUUUGACAUGAAAAAUAUCAUUAGUGAUUGGUAGAAAAUAUCAAGCCAAUUGUAUGUAUGCAUUUUAUUGUUUGACAAGACUAAUUAUCAAUGUUUGAUUACUACAUUGAGCAUACCACUUAUAAGUUAAUAUUUUUGUCCAAAGACAAAAUUUUAAUGUUGUGCUAGGUAACUCUUGAUAUGCCUCACCAUCAUUUGAAUUUAAGUUUUAAAGUUGAAUGUGAGUUUAAUUGCAAGAACGAUUGCAAUAUAUUUUGUUCUUUUAUUAGUGCUGCAAAUAUUUUUGCUCAAAUUAAGAAUAUCUCAUUGUUAAAUGGGACAAACUUUAAGGUGUAUAAGGAAGCCGUUGAAAUUAUUCUCAGCUGUAUGCAUUUAGAUGUGGCACUUCAAGUGGAGAAAUCCAUUUCUACUAUGUAUAUCCUCGAUGAGGUUAAAAUUGAGAAAUUGGGACACUCUUAUCGAAUGUGUCUAGUGAUCAUGAAACGCUAUAUUCCAGAAACGUUUCAGAACUCUAUUUCUGAGGGUCAAAGUGCAAGGAAGUUCCUUGAAGAAAUAGAACCAUACUUUUCCAAAAAUGAGAAGGCGGAGACAAGUAGCUUUUUUGGCUGAACUCAUCUCCAUGAAGUAUGAAAGCAUAUGAAACAUAAGGGAGUACAUUAUGGAGAUAUCUAAUAUCGCAUCAAAACUCAAGUCACUUAAGUUAGAGCUUGGUGAUGACUUGCUCUUGCACUUGGUUUUGAUCUCGCUUCCUGCACACUUUGGGACAUUCAAAGUGAGCUAUAACACUCAAAAGGACAAUUGGUUUCUCAAUGAGUUUAUAUCUCUUUGUGUCCAAGAGAAAGAGAGGUUGUAGAGAGAUAAGACUGAAAGUGCUCAUUUGUCUAUGACCUCUCAGAAUAAGACAAGAACGAACAAUAAGGAUGUUGUGAAAGGGCUAUUUGUGUUUUUCGUCAGAGAAUGUCUAUUUGUUCUACAUUAGACUUUGCCAGGAAAACCUAACAUAAAAGGUGUUGUUGAGUGACGAAACCAAACUCUUAAGGAUAUGGUGAGAAGUAUGCUUAGUCAUUCUUCCUCACUAGAGUCUCUUUGGAGGGAAAAAGUAGUUAAUAAAUGAAAGUGUGCAUGUCAAGAGGAACACUUUGGAAGGCUCUCCUUGAACGUCAUGGUUUUGAUGAGGACAACGUGUACCUAAAAGUGCUUGAAGAUAACCAACAAUCCAACGUGCUUGAGUCUUUUAUUUGGUACUAGGCUUAGACUAGUUUCUAGUUUAAGUUGAGUCGAAGGCUUAGGGCACCUAAAACAUGUCUCAUAUGCAUUUAUCUUUAAAUCAUUUCAUCCAUGAGAUAUGUUCAUUUGAUAAUAUGUUCAUGCAUUACAUAAAUACAUGUAUAUAUGCAUUCUAGGCAUAAAACUAAGUGUCAAACAUGUAUUAUCUAAGUGCAUAACAUAUUCGAUGUUUUCUAUUUGAAAAUACACAUUUUAUUUAGUGUUAAUCGAUUAACCAUACCUUUAAUCGAUUAACCCAACUGCUGUGAAAAGUGGUUGCCACUGGAACACGUUUUUGUAAUGCAGUUAAUCGAUUAAAGGUUCCCGUUAAUCGAUUAACCUAACUGAUUUUAAAGUGUUAAAUCUGAAAAACUGAAAAACAGAAUCAGUUAUGAUUUUUAGUCCCGUUAAUCGAUUAAGAAGGUAUUUAAUCGAUUAUCUGGGGUUCUGGACUGAUUCUUUAUAAACUGCGUUUUCAGAAUUAAUCUCAUAAGUUGCAUGUUGCAUUUAUUAGAGAGUUAGAGCAUUCUACGUGUUAAUUGCUGCAUCUAUUUGUUAAUUGCAUUAGUGAGUUUAGAAAUGAGAGAUUCCUUGCUUUAGGAUUGAGUGCAUUUCAUGUUAUAAUCUCUCAUGUUUUCCCUCACAUGUUCAUGCAUAUUUUUGAUGCGUUUUUCAUGAAUUUUAUAAUUCUGUAACUUCUGUUUUCAUAACUAAUACUUGUCAUUUCACAUGUGUUUGUGUUAAAUGUGCAUUAGAGUAAAGCCUUCAUGUUGUAUUUGAGCUUAGGUAUAGCUUAAUAUUACUCUUGUAAUUCUUGUGUAAUUGUUGUGAAAGGGAAUCUCUUGGUGUCGUAUCACCAGUAGAGAUUGUGUGUUUCUUCAUAGCUUAGAGUGUAAGAAAAGGAAAGAACGAGAGAUUCUUUGGCUGGGGCUACGCCGAAAGAAACGUUUUCUUUAUCGGUAGGAAGGGAGUCAAACCAUUGGAUAGUUUCUUUGAUUUCUUGUCAUUUGCUAAGUGUUGUAAUUGGAUAAUGUGUUUGUAAAUUACAUUGAUUCGAUUAUAGUGAAGGAAAUCUCCCAAGUCAGCCGGGAGGCCUGGAUGUAGUUUGCAGUGGACAGCAAACGAACCAGGAUAAAAAUUCGAUUUGCAGGAUUUGUUUCUCUCUCUCUCUUUACUGUUUUUCAAUCGAUUUAAUUUGUAUAUUUGAUUCAACUAAUACAUUCUGUUCUUUUGUUGUAUUGCAAGCUAUUCUGAUAUACAAAUUUGUAAGCUCUGUAUUCGUUCUGUUAUCGGUUAUUUGUUUCGCAUUUAAUCGUUUCUGUAAUUGCUUACUGGUUCUGUUUAAUCGAUUAAUAUUCCUGUGUUAAUCGAUUAUACUGUUUCUAUUAAUCGAUUAAAAUAGUUUCUGUUUAAAACUGUUUUACCUAACAAUAAAAACCCAUAUGAGCUUUGGACUGAUAAAAGACCAAGCUUAAAACAUUGCACAUUUGGGGUUUUCCAACUGAGACACGACCUUAUAGACCACAGGAAAGGAAACUGGACUCAAGAAAAAUUAGAUAUUAUUUUGUUGGCUAUGUUAUUUCGCUCCUUUUAAUGAACUUUAAGUUGUGAGGUUGAAUUGCUCUUUGAUAUGUGUCGUCCUCUCUCGAGCUCCAACACGUGCACUCAAUUGAAGCCGCACCAACUCUUGUGGUACGAUUAUCAAUUGAAUCAUUUACUUGGAUCUUUCUAUUCAAUCUCUUCGUAGCAAUCCAAGGUGAAUUCUAGAAAACCCCCGAGAAUCCUAAGACUACUCUCGUGAAUUAGGAUUCUAGAUUAAAUAAUUGAAUGGUCGGAUAGUUGGGUUCACCUCUCGGUCCUUCCCUAAUGUAUCUAAGAGGUAUAAUUUGUUGGCCAGACAACUCACACUAAUAAAACUCAGUUUAAUGAUUCAAAUCACAACAAUCAAUGAAACAGAAGUAAGAACGAGUGUUUAUUGAAUGUAAUAGGGCAUGCCCCAAUCCUAGAAACAAAGGGAAUUACUCACUCAUAAUGGAGAAGAGAAUACCAAAUUCUAAAUUGGAUAAUUAUAAUGUAAAGUAUAAAGUGUAAACUGUGUUUAAUCCUUGAGGGAGAACCCUCAUUUAUCCUAAUUAAAAAAUAUUGGACUAAGCCCAACAAAACAAAUCUAAAAAAUAGGAAUAGAAUAUAACAUUCACUACUUCUUUUGGCCCUUCAAUUGGUCUUUGCAUAGGCUCAACACCGAAUUUCAUCUUCUUGCACCCAAUCUCUACUCUUUUUGGCUUCAUUCCAUCCAAAUUGCACAACAUAGCCAAAAACACCCGCUCAACCCGAACAAAGAGAAAUAAAAGCUAAAAACAAUCUUAAAGUCUUAAUUAUGUCCUAAAAUGUAAGUUAAAUGUAAUGCAAAUGUAACAUAAUUUCACACUCAUCAAAUCUCCUCAAGCUUAUAUGUUUCUUGUCCUCAAGCAAGUAUUAUGUCUAAAUUUUACAAUCAUGCAUGAAUGAUGAUAUAAAAACCAUGACCCAAAAUAAUAAGCAAUCUCAUGUUAGUUUUGAAAUAAUCUAGACAUCAAGACAAGACAAUCAUAUACAAAUAUAAUUCAAGCUAAGUCUUCGAGUCAUAACAACUACAUGAAUUGAGUAACUCUUCUUUCAUCACUCUCAUGUGUUUAAAGGUCAUAGUAUUUCGCUCAAAUUUUCAUGAAAUUAAAUUAUCUUAUGCUUGAUUAUAGAUCAAAUCGCCACUUAAUGUAUUUAAAUGCAUGCAAAAGUGAAGAGGUCUUUAAAUGAUUGUAAUGGGGCCAAGGUGAAUGAUUUAUGGUGAGAUAAACAAGUAAAGGAUACUUCAAAAGGCCUACAAAUGUUUCUCCAAAUACUUAAACUUUUUAGACAUCUGACUGAAGCAUUGAGAUUCUUUUAAUAAGCCUUAAUUUAUCAUAUGAUCCUUUUUCGAUCAACCAUUCUUUUUACAAUAUCAUUUUUGAAUAAUUUCUCCUUUAGUACAUUUUGUAUUAUUAUUUUUUCAUUCUUUUAUUCAUUCUUAUUAUUUUUCUAUAAGAGAAAUUAUGAUUUUUUUUUUCUUUUUCACAAUUAUUUGGUUUCUUUCACUACACAUGACCUUUUUACCUUUCCCAUUGCUUCAACCAAACAUCCCAUAUUAUCCCAAACCCUAAUUUAAGUAGCUAUGAAAAACCAUUAAAUUCCUGGCUCAAAAGUGGGCAACUAAUGGGUUUUAAAUGUUUAUAGCAAGUAGUUGAAGGUCAAAAGAAAAAGUUCCCAUUGCCUCUAUCAUUUUAAUGCAUACAAACAAACUUCAAUCUUGAAACGGGCAUAAAUCAAGUUCUAGAAUGUACAACUUACAAAAUUAUGCACUCAUGAAAGCAAAAAGGGUUUUUAUGCAAUUGUCAAUUUAUAUCAGAACCCUUAUUGUGUUUGACCCAAGUUUCUCACAUUUGGUUCAUUCAGCAAAAGUAAUGAAACAAUGACCUUUAUUUAACCAAAUUUAAUUCUCAAUUGUCAAGUUCUAGAUAUAAAGUUUGUCUAGUUGCUCAAGGCUACACUUAGAAAGAAGACAUUGAUUAUUAAGAAACUUUCACUCCAGUAUCUUCGAAUGAUUCUUUUAGAAUAGUAUUGACACUAGUAGCUCAUUUUGAUUUAGAGGUACAUUAGAUGGAUGUUAAGACUAUGUUUCUAAAUGGUGACAUUAAAGAAACGAUCUAUGUGGUGCAACUAGAAUACUUUGUGACAAUUGGCUCAAAGUUAAUGGUAUGCAAAUUAAAGAAAUCCAUCUCUAGUUUUAAACAAGCUUCUUGUCAAUGGAAUCACAAGUUUCAUCAAGUUAUUACCUCGUACGGUUUUGAGGCACAUAAAGUUGGUAAUUGUGUGUAACACAGACUCAAUGGGAGUAAAUUUAUAUUCCUGGUAUUAUAUGUCGAUAAUAUACUUGUUGAGAGCAGUGAUAUGGGACUAUUGCAUGAGACUAAAAGAUUUCUAAUGAAGAAAUUUGAAAUGAAAGAUCUUGGGGAAGCUUCUUUUGUAUUAAGUAUUCAGAUACUAAGAGAUCCUCUCAAGGUAUCCUGAGGUUGUCAUAAGAAAGAUAUAUAGAUAAAAUCCUAGAUAAAUUUGGCAUUAAAGAAAGUAAACCAUGAAAGAAAGAAAAAUGAUGUUAAGAAUUUUGGACAGGUGCUUAGAAAUGUUUUACACCAUACUUAAUGAGAAAAGAACUUCGUAUUUUUUAUGUCUUCACUACAGUGUAACUAUCCAUUUAUUCAACAUCUCAAUCAUUUCUAAAAAAGGAUGAUAAUAAAUCAACCUUGGCUAGAAUGUAGGAAAGGCUUUCUUACAAUGCUUCUACUGAGAGAAAGGAACUUUCUACUCUUAAUACUCUGUAAUCAUCCUCAUGUUCUGCAACUUGAUUAAGAAAAUGUUUUCUUAUUUAAUCAUCAUUGAUAUUGAUAAAUCAUUUUUAACGGGCGUGAAGAAAAUGUUUUGUUAUGAUACUUUUUUGGUGACCAUAGACCAUCAACCAUCACUUAUUAUCACUAUUCACUUUCCUUGUGAUUCAACUUUCUCUUGGUUUGCUUAUAGAGAUGAAAACGAGCCGAACCGGACUGAACCAGAACUCAGCUUGAUAAGGAUCUACUCAAUUUGAAACUCGACUCAAGUUUGAUACGAGUUAUUUUUUAGCUCGGGUUCGACUCGGUUAAAUUUCGCGAAUUGUUCAACUCAACUCGAAUUGGUUCAUUUAUAUAACUCAAAUAAUAAAUUUAUUUUUAAAAAAUAUAUUGCAUAAGGUUAUAUAUAUAUAUAACCUUUUAUAUAUAUAUAUAUAUAUAACAAAAACAAAUAUAAAAUUUAGUUAUAUAUAUAUAUCGAACUAGCUCAUGAACCUAACGAGUCUUAAUAUUUAUAUGAUAUAAAUCAGAUAAAAUAAAAAAUAAUAUAUAUAAUGAUACAUAUACUUAAGUGGGACAAAGUGAGGAGUAAGCUUUACACUAACAUCUUAAGGGUACAUAGAAUUUUAAUUUAUUGAUCAACUACUAAAUUAUAGUUGUGAUGAUAAGUUAUAUACUAAUUUUUUUUAUAAAUUUACCUCAAACUUAUUGAAACUUGAGAUGUAUGUUUACAUUUAGAGAUGUAUAGUUAUUAAUACAGUAUCUGUCCUCAAAUUGGUCACCGUACUAGUACAAUGGUAUAGUGGUUUAACCGAUGGUUCAUUAAUUAACUUAUGACAGUUAAACCGGACAUACAUGCUUAUGUAUAUAACCUUUAAUAUAAAAAUCAACUAGGUAGAUAACAAAAUUUAUAAUUCAUAUUUAUAGUGUACUAAGAAUUCCCAUAGAUAAAUAAUUUUAACAAAUCCAAAGUCUAACCCAUCUUCCAUUGAUGCAAAUAGAAGCCCAAAAGGGCAAAACUAGCAAAUCAACUAAUUGAACAAAUAGAAGAAUCAAGUAAGUAAGAAGCAAGAGAGAUAAGGUGAGAGAUGAAAUGAACACACCCCUUAGUGGAAAAUAGUGUCAACUCUACAAGGAAUAGGCAGGAACGAAGAUGAUACGUUGGUGGAAGCCUGGAACUAUAGAAGAAUUGAAGAAGGAUUGAAGAAGUGUGAAUACUGGAUAGAGAAGAAUCGAAUAAGGGUAGAAGAAUUGUGAACGGUGUAGCCUAUAAAUUUUGAAAAUCCCACUUCCGUAAAACGACGUAGUUUAGGGGUGUAUUUUUAGUUAUAUAAACCGGCUGGUUUAGUCAAAUUUUAACUUGUUCACCAGUUUUGACUAAAUCUGAUCAGUUUUCAACGAUUUUGAUACUUGGUUAGAACAACAACCAUGUCGUACUAGUUAGAGGUCUGGUUCAUUGGUUUACAGGUUGAACCGGCCAGUAUGAAAUAGUUUUUACAUCAUGGUGUGUUAAUGAGAUGGUAAAUAAGUAUUUUAACAAACAAAAAUGAAAAUUAUAAAAGGUAAAUAAUUAAGUUAAUUUAUUUGUUAGGCGUGUGUUCCAUUGAAAUAAUAAAUUCACUAAAAAAUAUUCAGUUUGGAUUAAAAUUCGAAAUCGUUAAGGUGAGUUAAUAGGUGAAUGAGAAUUUGCAUUUAUAGUUACUAUCAAAAUAAAUGAAAUAAAAGCUAAAGCUGAGAUUAAGAAAGAUAGACGAAAUAGUGAACGAAUUAAACUAGAAUUUAUUACUUUUUUUUUUUAUUUUGUAUCAAGUUCUAGAUAUUGUUUGCUAAUAUUCUGUCUAUAUUUCUAUAACUAUAUUAAUCUCGUUUUAGUACUAACUUAAGUGAAGAAAAAAAUGAAGUGAGAGAAAAUUUGAGAUUAUUCAUAAAUGUUAGGGUUGCAAUUUGUUCACCAAGUGAGAAUCAUUAAAUAUAUAAUUUUGUUCAAUUUUAAGAUUUGUCGAUGAUGGUUGUUAAAGCCUAGGUUAUUUUUUAGAAGAAUUUCUAUUGCCUAAAUGUUGGGGUGUAAUCAUUUUGAGGCUGAAAUAGACAAAUGGAAAGUUAUAUUACUAUAUAAUAUGAUAUGGGCAAGUCUUAUUUUCCAUGUUUUUCAAAGUUAUCAUCGAAAAGAUUAUAAGGGUAUCGAUACCUAUUGUACUAUAUUGAUGAUGCUUUUUUUACUUGGACUAUUCUCGCAAAAUAAACAUUAUCUGGUAUACUUCUUAUUCUGAUUUAUAAAUGUAUAAUAAUGAUGGUAAUCUUCUGGACAGACUCUACUGAUGGUACUCUCUCUCUCAAGGAUGCCUACAAGAGCAUCAUGCCUUCUACUGAUUCAAGGCAUUGGUGCAAGCUCAUUUGGUCUAGCUCCAUUCCUCCCUCAAAAUACUUCACCCUUUGGAGGCUUAUAAACAACAGAAUGCCCUCAGAUGAGAACUUACAAGCUAGAGGCUGCAUUUUAGCUUCUAAAUGCAAUCUUUGUCAUGUCCAAGUCGAAUCAUCUCAGCACCUAUUUCUCUCAUGUUCCUUUGCUACUGCAAUCUGGGAUUGGUUGAAUCAUCAAUUCCAAAUCACAAUUGACACAUCUUCUGCUGCUAAUCUUCUCCUUGCUGCCAAAGGAAGUGCUCAAGUGCAAUUCCUCAUCACUGCUGCAGUGGUGCUUGCUGUUAACACAAUUUGGCACUGCAGAAAUUUGAGCAGGUUUCAGGACAAAAAAUUACUUCUGCCUCAAGCUAUCAACAGAAUCAAGAGCUCCCUCACUCUGGCUGGUAAUUCUUCCUCGGCAAUAGCAAGCUCCUCUCUGCUUGAUUCCUCAAUCAUCAGGUCUCUAAAAGUGCAGGUCAACUAUAGGAAAUCUCCUAGAAUCUUGGAAGUCAAUUGGAAGUUGCCUCCCUUUGGCAGGGUAAAAAUCAAUACGGAUGGAGCUGCUAGAGGUCAUCCAGGGCAUGCUGGAGGGGGAGGAAUUUUCAGGGAUCAUGAUGGUUUGUUCAUGGGUGUUUUCUCUACCUAUUUUGGCAUACAUGAUGCUCUCUAUGCUGAGCUUUCUUCAGCCUUUUUAGCAAUUCAAAAGGCUCACAGCAUGGGAUGGCACACAAUUUGGUUAGAAUGUGACUCAUUGUUGGUCACAAAAAUUUUCCUAGGUACUAUGGUUAUCCCUUGGAAGUUAAUGUCAACUUGGAGGUCAUGUAAGAUCCUCAUGUCUUCAAUGGAUUGUUGGAUAACACACAUCUAUAGGGAGGGAAACCAAUGUGCUGAUUCAUUGGCAAACUUCGGCAUUGAUCAAAAUUGCUACACUUGGUGGACUCAUCCACCUUCUUUAGUGCUUCCUUAUUUGUAUAGGAAUAGUAUUCAAUUACCUUCCUAUAGGUUUGUAAACUAAUCUUGUAUGUUUUCAGCUUAUUAAUAUAUUAUGGGCUAAGCCCCUUGCUUAAAAAAAAUUAAUGAUAUUUUGAUCUCUUCCAUCACAUAUUUCAUUAAACAAUUCAUAUCAACAUAAUUAUUUCUUAACUUCUAUUGCCUAAUAUUUCUUUUACCAUUGUAAUCUAGUGUUAAUGUUUUAUAACUUAUCAAAUUUAUUUGAUAAAUGCAUAAAAACAUUUCAAUUCAAAAAAUAAAAUAAAAUUAAAUAAAGCAUUUGGAUUCUAAUAUGGGAUAUUAACUAUGAUACUUCGAAACAAGAAACUAAAAAAGCUCAAGGACUUAUGAUCUGAGUUGUUGUCUUGGAUUCAUUUUGAGAAUUAAAUUAAUUUAGUUAAGAAAUGUGUGAAACUCUAAUUCUUUUAAGCGAGAAGUAAAUGCAAUAUGAAUGAAGUCAAUAAGUAUAUAUAUAUAAUUAUAUUAGUUAAAUUUAAUAAGAACAUAUAGAUUGAUGAAGGUAGAUCUUUUAUUAAUAAUAGUACAUAGGUAAAACUCUAGUGUUAUUAUUAUCUUGUGGAUCACUAUGAGCUCUUACAUGAUAGUAGAUAUCAGCUUAGUAAAGUGUGCUCUAAAUAGAAGAGAUGAGACCCCUUCUUCCAUGGCUUCCCUCCUUCUCCUUUUGUUGUUGCUGCUGAGGUUGAGCAUUUGCAAAGUAAGAUUGUUGUUGGUUCUUGAUUAAUCUCUCAAUGUCUUCAGCAGAACCAGGGAAUGUAAGCUCCUUCACUUCUCUAUCUAACUGCCUUAUCACAUUCUCUUUAGAACCUUUCAAUUUUCAAUGAUUUCCAAACAUAACAGUAUGAGUUAGUAACGCCAAAACCAAAGUCAUAAAGCAAAUAUUAUUUUUUACAAUUAGGUAUUUGUGCCAAAAGUUGGCUUUGUUGCCACAUUGGCUAUGUCCAAGACAUAGUUGGUGAUUUGGCGAUCAAUUUUAUAAUCGUGUAUCUACCUUUUAAACUACCUCUUAAGGUUAAAGUGAAAUAUAUUUAAUUACAAUGUUUGAAAUUGAAUAAUGUUUAUGGUACCUACAAGGAAAUUCCUCUGGUUUUCAUAAGCAUUGAUGCCAAAUCCAAGCAAGCGAAUAUUUGAGGAAGUGCUGAUGGAAAUUGGAUGACUUGUCGGAAUUACGAAAAUGUCACCUUCUGUUAAUUUACCAUUGUACCUUCUCACUUCUUGCUCAUCUUGUUGUUGUUGUUGAUCUCUUAUACCCACCAGUUCAUAAUUUCCUUCUCCUUCAUCAACCACGACUACAAAUAUGGCCUUUGAGUUAUACAUAGUGUGGCUAAAAAAAAGCUCCCUAAAAUAUAAAAAAUGAAAUCAUUAGUAUUAGUAUUGUUGUCUAAGACGCAACACUAGUGAAUAAGUAGAAGGAAUUAUGUGUAUAGUUAUUUAGGAUGUGAUAUAUGUAAUUUACCUCGUUAAUGUCUAUGAAGGUGAGAGAGAUAUCCAAAUACUGAGCUUGAGGGUUUCUGUCUGGGGUGAUCUCGUAGAAGUUGCCAAACUUGUUUGAAUAAAUGGGUUCAUUGCUUCUCAAGUUGAAGGGGCCAGAUUUAGAUGGUUUGCCUUUUCCUGAUAAUGAUUGAGCAUGUUUUCUCAAUUCUUGGAUUUGUUCCUUUGACACUCUCACUAUCACCCCCUCUUCUUGGUGGCUCUGCUCCUGUCCAUGGCUUUGUUCCUCAUCUUCGUGCUCAUCCUUAUUUCCUAAAAGAAUCCUUUGUAUCUCUUUAUAACGGCUCUAUAUUUGAAAUCCAAACAAACAAAUAUGUGAU
This 64622-nucleotide long non-coding RNA is filed under the name Lupinus angustifolius (narrow-leaved blue lupine). RNAcentral describes it as "long non-coding RNA (LANG_LNC003604)". The record is from RNAcentral. Lineage: Eukaryota; Viridiplantae; Streptophyta; Magnoliopsida; Fabales; Fabaceae.